This 57601-nucleotide long non-coding RNA is filed under the name Populus trichocarpa (black cottonwood). RNAcentral describes it as "long non-coding RNA (PTRI_LNC001395)". Lineage: Eukaryota; Viridiplantae; Streptophyta; Magnoliopsida; Malpighiales; Salicaceae. The record is from RNAcentral.
UAUGCAGGUAUUUCAGACAUUCUGCUGGCUCCUUACCCAUUCUUCAACAGCCAAUUUGUUCAAUUCCUUUGGGUACAUGGGUUCCAAAACUUGAGGAACCAAACAGACGGCCAUUAGCAAUGUUGGGACCGAAUGCUUCUCUUGGUGCUGCUCUGUCCUUGUUGGCUCAAGGUAAUUCACACGUCAAAAGAUUACCACAAGCUACAACUGUCCUCUUCUAUCUGUUUCUGAGUGUGCAUAUUGCUGAUUGAUCUUCUUUAACCUCUCCUAACCUUGUGCUAUAAUACCUUCCUGAUACAGCCAAUGUCAGUUCAAUACCAAUUGUAAAUGAUAACGAUUCACUGCUGGAUGUAUAUUCUCGAAGGUAACUUGUGCAUCUGUGAGUGCAUGUGCUUGCAUGUUCUGGAUCCUUGUUAUUGUUGAAUUGCAGGUUAAGCCAACUGUGACUUAAGUUUGUUGUUUCCUUGACAGUAAUAUCACUGCUCUGGCAAAAGAUAAAGCCUAUGCACAAAUUCAUCUCGAUGAAAUAAGUAUUCAUCAGGCAAUUAGUUUUGAUUACUUUAAGCUCUAUUUAUAUGCAGUUGUAUGCACAUUCUUGCAAUGGUCUGAACCAAUCCGCAGCUCUGUACAUGAAUAUCCAUUUGUGAAACAAUAAAUACAUUCAACUAAAUCAGGAGAAGAUAAAUGACUGGAAAUGAUAAAGUAAACUGCCUUUUUGAAUAAAACAUGCAUGGCAUGAACCUCCUGUAUUGAUCUGCUCUUUCAUACCCUUUUAGGCUCUGCAAUUGGGUCAGAAUGCAAAUUCUUCAAAUGCAUUCUACAAUGGACAGAGAUGUCAGAUGUGUUUGCGGACUGAUUCUACACAAAGUGAUGGAGCGUUUGGCAAAUCCCGGUACUCUUACAGCAAUAUGAUUUUUUUUUCUACGUCAACUUUUCUCCAUAAUUAGUUCUGACUUCGUGGUCUGGACUAGUAACACGUUUUCUAAUUGCUUUGUUGCGUGGUCUUUUCAGGGGUUAGGAGGCUUUGUUGCGUGGUAAAAAAACACUUUUUAAAUUAAAGUUAUAAAAUAACUAAAAAAAUUAUAUAUUAAUAUUAAAGAUUUUUAAUUUAAAUAUUAUAGAAUUAUAAACAACAAACUUAAAGCAAAUCGAUGUAAAUUGCUUAACUAAUACAACAUUCCAAGCUAUAAAUCAAGGUUAGAUUUUUAGAACUCAAAACAUUUUUUCCCUCUUUAUCUGCUCCUAACCCUACACUUUCUGUGGUGUUCAAUAAUGGAAGGAAAAACAAUAUAAUCUUGUAGUUAACGCAAUAUGUGUUUCUGAUCAAGAUAUCAUACAAGUCGCGAGUGCAGCUCUAUAGCACCCACCCAAAUUUUAAACCAGAGAAUAACUGCUUAACUAUAAAAGAAUUAACCUCCCAACUGAUGACUGGUAUAGAGCCAAACGAUCUAUUCCAUCUUUAGUCUUGAGCAAAUUUUGGCAAACCCCCAUGUCAUCUUGAUCAUAAUCUGCCAUAGCUAUAGCAUACAGAAUAAUCCUGCAGACAAGCAGAGAUAACCAAAAUCCAGUAAACUUUAGACCAAACAGGGAAACAAAACGUAACAAAUAUACUCUUGCUAACUGAUAGAGAAAGGCAACAGCAGUCUGUACGAUCUAAUCUUUGGAGGCAACCGCAUUUUUUACAAGUACUCAACAAAUGGCCUCUCCAAAUCCUCAUCUGGAAUCUUUGUCUUACCUUCCUCUUCAUCAUUCCCAUUCCCAAUCCCAUCAUUACCAGAAGAACCCGCCGCCACUGUGGCAUCCAAGUGCCCUUGCACCAGCUUGAAAAACCUCAUCAACUGAUUCUUUUCCAUCAGAGUCAAACUCUUAUCCUUAAAUAUGGCAGCUCUGGAAUCUGGCACAUUCCAUAACUUUCCAUUCCCAUCACCAACAAAACUGGCAUCAAUACUCUUGAACUCCACAUAAUUACUUGCUCCAGAUUUUAACAUAAGAUCAAUUGACUUGUCGGCGCAAAAUAACACCCUUAGUCCGCACAAGUCCAAAUUGAACUUCCGUAAGUUUUCUUCCAUUAGUUUAGGAUAAAGACAGGAAAUCUCAACAUCUGAAUAUACCGGCUGAGUGCUGAGAUUUACAAUGGAGUAAUCAGGGAUGUCAGUUGUGGUUGAGGUGGAAGAUGGUGGUGAGGAAGCUGUAGAAUUGGAAAUAAGGAAAGAUGUGAGAUCCGGGACCGAGAGAGAGGAGUAAUGGGACCCAUAGAUUGGGUUGGUGUCAAGGUGAAGGACAGUUUUUCCAGAAGCAGAAGCUGCAGCAGCAACAAUGCAUUCUGCUAAACCAGUGCCUGCAGCAAUCAGGUCGAUGGUAGUUGGUUCAAUUUGCGGGUAUGGUGGGGGCUCACUCGUGGUAGCACUGGAGAGGAACAGUAGAUUUACUGCUGAGAGUGAGCAAGUGAGGAGCUAAGAAUCACCUGGCACAAGAACCAAGAGAAAAAAAUUGUGUUAUCAAGUAUGAUCAACAAGUGAAGUUUUUGCACUUUCUUUUAAUAUUUGAACACCAGCAAGGUACUUGCUAAAUGGGGCAGGCAGGCUGGCUUGGCUUACGUUCAACAAUGUCUAGCUUUUACUUUUUUUUUAAAUUUAAUUUAUUAAUUGAUGUUUUUUUCUACAUGUAUUUUUUUAAAAAUAUUUUUUUAUUUAUAUUUAAAUUAAUAUCUCUUCUCUUUUUUAUUUUGUUUAUAUAAAAUCUUUCAAGUGACUAUUAUUUUUUAGUUAUUUUACAUGUAUUUUAUUUUAAAAAAAAUUAUUCUAAUUCAUGUGUAUUUAUAUAUAUAUAUAUAUAAAAUAUUCAUAAUUUUUUUUUAUAGUGCGAGUCAAAUAGGGAUCACAUGCUCUACUUUAGAGACUUUUGCUGCACCUUUUUGGUCUUGUAGCUCUAAGGUUAAUCCCUUUGUCUAUGGAAAUUUCAUUUUUAAGUCAAUUUUUUUAAAAAAUAAAUACUGUACUUUAGAAUUAAUGGUUGAUUGUAGCCCGUCAUUUCAUUUGCCCUGUUAGCUUUGUGCUUUCUUCUACUGCCCUCAAUUUUAUCGGCAAACAACUCCUUUUGUAGUGCGCCGCCGCCUCUUCUUUACUGCCCUAAAACAGAGAGAGCGAGACGCAGAGACAGAGAAGACAAAGAAAGGUAACCGAUAACCGAGAGAGAAGGCAAGAAAGAGAUGGAGAUAGGAAAAGACAGUAUGGUAAGAAUUAUAUUUUUAGUAUUUGUGAUAAUUUUUCAGUAUCAAGUUUGAGUUUUAUUGACUAAUCUGUGUGGAUUUGUUUUUAUAAAGCUUUAUUACAGGAUGUUAAGAUUUGGGUGAAUAUAUAUGCAUUGAUUUUGAUUUACAGUUCUUGAGAAAUUAACCGAUAGCUUUUGAUUUCAGUAUCAAGUGAGAUUUAUACUUAUUCCUUUUCAGGUGAUGCCUCAUUCAGAAACCUCUUAUUCACACUUUUUUUCCUUGCUGGGGCCAUGGAGGACCUAUCUAUCUGAAACAAUCAAUGAACAAAUUAGCAACACCAAUUUGCUUAAAGCUUUAACAUGGACAUCAAUAACCAUCAAAAUUCACAAAAUACAUUACAUUAAUAAUAAAAAUAUAAAACUCUUGGCAAAGCAAGACGAUCUUCCACCCCAGAAUUUGAAAUAUAAUACAGUCCAAAUAUUAAACUUUUUUCCUUCUUUUGUUUUUUUUUGGUUUUUCGGAUACUUAGACUCGAGUUAAGAGCAUACUAAGCUGCACUAAUUGUGGAGAAUAUUUUCCCACUCGGAUUAUAUUUGAAACCUCAGUCAAAACCCACCACAAGAAUUCAACUUUUACAACAUAUCAAAAUCACAUCAUUUUCAAAUUCACAGAUCCGAGACUGUACACUUACAGAUUCAGAGUAAUUGAUAUCUGGGUAUAAAUCAUACAGUGAAGCAAAGGGCUGUGAAGGGAGAAAAAUGCAAGCUUUAAGUUUAUGUGUUAUAGAGAAGGGUUUUUUAGAGAGAGAAAUAAAAGAGAGUUUUCGAAGUUGCGGGAAAGAGAGGCUCUUUUAGAGAGAGAAAGAGAGAUGUUGCCGCGAAACUUGAAUAUAAAGGUGGGCUGGCCAAUCAGAUUUUUUUAUGUAUAUAUUUUUUUGUUUUUCUUGUUUUAUACAGUGUUUUUUUGUUGUUAAUCACCGUACACGUUGGUGAGUGGGGUAUUGUAUGGUAUGAUCUUGUGGUCAUUGGUUGGGGUUUGAAGGGAUAAUUAUAGCAGAUUCAAUUUGAAAUUUUUUGUUGUUUGCUUUGGGAAUGGCCCUUGAAUUUAUGGGUAUUUGUAUUUGGUUACCAUAAAGUUUUAGAAAAACGGGCCUCGAAGUUUUCUAUUGAGAGAUGGUCCCUCAUUUGAAUCUUCUGCACAAAGUUUUUAAACCGCACAAUCCAUGACACAACCUAAGGCUCGCAUUAUGGGUAAGAUAAAUUUAUAUAUGUGAAUUUAAAAUUGUGUUAGUUUAAUAUUUUUUUAAAAAAAUUAAAAUAAUAUCAUUUUAAAAAAAUAAAGUUAUAUUGAGUUCUGACAAGAUUGUAAGUGGGCUCACUCGAUCCAUCAAGUUUUAAUUGAGUUAACUUUCAUAUGGUUUAAUGUAAAACUCGACCAAGACCAAGUUUUUUUAUUGAGCUUGUGUAUGAAUUUAUUAAAAUUAGUUUUGCCUAAAGCUUAGGUUAUAUGUUUAGUGGGUUAAAUCAAGUCAAUCUAAAAUGAUGUCAUUUUAAGAUAAAAAAAAAAACAAAAUGAGUUUCUUUUGAAAAAAAAUCAAUUUUAAUCAGGUUAUAAAUAGACGCAGCCAAAUCAAUCAAGUUUUAAUCGAAUUAACUUUUAUAUUAAUUUUAAACUCGUUCUUAAUUAGGUCUCGAAUCAAUAAUUUAUCAAGAUGAUUUAUUAAAUCAUAAGAGAUUGAAUAACAUUGGUUAUUAAUAUAUGUCUGGUAUUGUGGUGUAUGAUAUUUUUAAAAAGUGUUUUUUAAUUAAAAAUAUAUUAAAAUGAUAUUUUUUUAAAAAAAUAUUUUUGAUAUUAAAAACAAUUUUAAAAACAGGAACAAACAAAAUGCCAAAUACAAACUUAGUAUUGAAAUAACAAACUCCUCCAUAAAUUUAUUUUCCUUCGACAUUUAUUCUCGUAAAAGAAAAGAAAGGACACCAAUAGCACCAAGCUCCAACUCUUCGCUCCUUGCCAUCCCCAGCAUUUUCAGCCCUGCCUUGCCUUGUUACACACCACCCUCAUUAUCAAUGUCAAUAGGAACCUAUUUUCAGGAAAAAUAAAUAAUAAUUAUAAGCUAAUUCAUUUUUCUUUUUUUCCCAUAACAAUGAUAAAUAUUAUUAAAUUCAUCAAUAAAAAAAACUACUGAUUUGUUACCUUUUCAAUCAGUAAAGCUAAGAUCCCAUUUGGACCAAGAUCAGCAUGGUAAAGUGACCAACAAGCAAUUUUGUCACCAACUUUGAAGUCACUCUUCACAAGAACUUCAGCCCAAGCAAUCUUUUCCAAUCUGAAAUUCUUGACUGCCCUAUCAUAGUAAAUUGCCACCCAAAUCUUAUUCCUUGGUGGUGUGUAGAUCUCAAUUUCUAGUCCUUUGAUCCCAAUUUCAUCGAGCAUGGGUUUUGGUAGAGUUGUUAAGAAGCUUUUUGAAUCUCCGACAAGAACUAAACCUAGCAUGUCAUCUUGAGUCAUGGUUCUUGUGAAUAAAUGUUCUAGCUCCCCACCAAUUGGAUAGUGUUGAAUCUGGUUAGGUUGAGGAGUAGCCAUGUUCUUGAAUUAGGUUUUUUUUUUUUUUUUUUUGGUAUGUUGCCCUCUUGAAAACCACCUUGAUGAUUUGAAACUAAAUACAAGCAAAUGAAUGUUAAAAUAGUUAUGUUCGUGUCAAAUUGCUAGCAGAAUGCAUGACUAACACAUAAAUUGUGAAGGCAUGCUUUAAAGGAGGGUGCUUGCCUGGUGGUUAAUCACUGUACACGUGUUAAGUGGAGUUCGUGUAUGGGAUGAUCUGUGGAUGUUUCUGGUACGAGUGAAUUAUACCAGAUUUAAUUUGAAAUUUCGCUACACAAUGAUCCCUGGAUUUAUAUGUAUUGCAUUUAUCUCCCUAGAGUUUUGAUAAUUAACGACUUUUACACUUUGUUUGGACUUAGGCGUUACUGUAAACUAAGGACGUGGCAAAAUAAUCACCCUACGAUUGGUAUUAAAAUACGAUCACCACAUUAUAUAUUUUCUCAUGUUAUUUUUUUUAUGGGCAAUUAACGUUAUCUACAAUGAUAUUAAAUUAGGUAUAUAAUCUCAUUAUUAAGAAAAGUAUGCGUAUAAUCCAAUCAAAAGAGUUAUAAAUAUAUAAUCUUAUUAUUAUUAUUAUUAUUUUCUCGUGAUUUCUUGGAUAUCACUUGUAAUAUUUUAGUUGUUUUAUUUUCUUCUUCACUCUUUGAUUUUAGAAGUUAGCUUUUUUUUCUAUUGCCACUUUUAUUUGUAAGAGGAUUGAUUGAUGGUAUAAAUGCCACAUUAAUUUUGAAAAUUAAUAAAAAUUAAUGGCUUGGCAUUGUCAACUGAGUUUGUCAAAGACAUGUAUGCUUGUAUUACAAAAUACUAAAACCAAAACUUUUAAUUAUAAUGGUUAGAUUUAGGGUGUGUUUGUUUUUGCAGUCAAACCCGUUUUUCAAAGUGUUUUCACUUAAAAAUCAUCAAACUAAUGAUUUUUAAGUGUUUUUUUGAUAGUUUUGAUAUGUAAAAAAAAUAAAACAACAUCAUUUUAAUGUUUUUUCGAUUGAAAAACAGUUUUACAAAAAUACUUUGCACGUAUUACCAAAUAUACACUUAGGCCAUGGUUUUCUACUAAAAUAGUUUUAUUUUGCAAAGUGAUUUCCAUGCAAAGUGAAUUGCAUAAAAGUGAGUUAUUUUUUUUUUAUGUUUGGUAAUGUAGUGAAAAAUAAGUUAAAAAACACUUCUAGUGCUUGGUUAUGUCAUAAAAAAUAAGUUAAAAAUAACUUAUUAAUGUUUAAUUUAAUUUUAUUAAAAGAAUAUAAACCAAAUCCGACAAAUAAAAAAGUUAAAGGAUAAUGAAAUUAAAAAAUAUAUAAUUUCAUAAACUAUUUCAAAUAAAAAAAUAGCAAUCAAAAGAAUGGAGACCAAAUCUGAAAGAUAAAAACAUUGAAAGAGGAUAAAAUUAAAAAAAUAUAUAAAUUUCAUAAAUUAUUUCAAAUAAAAUAAAUAGCAAUCAAAAGAAUGAUGAUAAAAUUUAAUAGAUAAAAAAAUUUCAAUAAAAAAAAGAUAAGAGAAAAACAAAUAACAAUCACAAGUACGAGAAUCAAAAUUAAUAUAAAAAUUAAAUUGAAUCAAAUUCCGAGGGAUAAAAUUAACAAAAAAUAAUAAAAAAGAAUUAAAAAAAACAUAUAACAAUCAAAAGAUUGAGAACUAAAUUUAACAUAAUCAACAAAUAACAAUAUAUUUUUUAGUUUUUCAUGACUUCUAGAAAAAUAUUUUUUAUCCAAAAUAAAAAGAAAAUACUUUUUUAAAAUCCAAGUUAAAUUUGUCUUUGAUUAAAAAAUAUUUUUUUUAAUUAAUUUUUUUAAUACCAAAUAAUCAAAAAAAAAUUUAAAAAACAUUUUUCAAAAAACUAUAAAACACAAGGACUUAUCUGAAAGUCUAACUCUUAAAAAAAGUUUAAAUUGCUAAGUUGUAUUUGAAUCCUAAAUUUUUGAAUCGACCCGCCAUGCCGCGCUAAGUUUAACAACUACGUUCUUAACAUAUCAAUGGUUUCAACUUAGCCGACAUGUCAUUUAAAGAUUUAAGAUUUAGUACUUGCGAGGCUAUAUAUAGCCUAUUAACUAAUCUUUCUUCAGCAAUGAUGCCCGAAUUGAUUCUCACGUGGAUGUGUUUGUUGUUAUGUUUUAAAAAUAUUUUCAAAAAAUUUAAAUUGUUUUUUAGAAUUAAUAUUUUUUUAGUGUUUUCGUAUCAUUUUAAUAUACUGAUGUCAAAAAUAAUUUUUUUUUAAAAAUAUUAUUUUGAUACAUUUCUGAGUUAAAAACAACUAUAACCACAGUUUCAAACAUGCUAAAAAAAACCUUCGAAGAUAGUAACCUACAAAUUUAUUGUCAACUAUUCGAACUCCUCUUUUAACAUUUUAUUGAAUCAAGUUUUUUGUGAAUAAAUGUUCUAGUUUCCCACCAGUUGGAAGUGGUUGUACUUCCAUGUUCUUGAUUUUGAUUUGUUUCUAUUUCAAAAUCAUUAAACAUAAUAAUAAUAAAAAAAUUUCAACCAAUAGUUUUUUUCUCUCUUUUUUUACUCCCUGGAUCUGUUGUCAAGGUACAGGGGCUUCUUUGAAGUGGAAUAACCCGACCACAAAAAUGCAGUGAUACAAAAUGCAUAUGCUCUACCCAGUAUGGUAGAAAAUGCCUAAGUAUUAAAAUUAAAAUUUUAUAAUUAUGUUAAUAUUUAAAAGUGCAAUAACUUCUGUUUUUAGAUGCAUUUCACUUGAAAAUACAUAAAAUUGAUGUUUUUUAUAAUGUUUUUUUAAUAGUUUUGAUGUGCUGAUAUUAAAUAUAAAAAAAUAUAAAAAAAUUUUUUAUAAAAAAUAUCGUGCAUCGCAUUAUAAAACACGUACUAAUAUCAGCUGAUAUUCUAAAAUUCAAGAUAAUCUUGUAUUGUUCGGUGAAUCUAAGUCAUAAAAAUAAUUGAUCAUAAUUUAUAAUUUAUGGGUGAUUUUUUUGAUUAUUUGAUAUUUUUGAUUCUAUUUAAAAAAAAUACCUAUAAUUAUUAUCUUGUAAAAAUUUCAAGAAAAAAGAAAAAAGUAAGACAAAAUCUGUCAUGGAACCCACAUAAAAUAGCAUUUACUCCGAUAAUCCAAAGCCCUUAAAAAUCAAGAGCCCACGAUCAACUUGAAUGGGUACACUUAUCUCGCUUAGACGACCCCGAUUUUUCUUUAGUUUUAAAUAAUCUUUUCAAUUGUAUCUUGCAUUUUUAUAAGCAAGCCCUACUUCUCAUAAUUUUUAGACCCGGCCCGAUCCAAGAUCUGGAUUUCGAGUUUUGACCGGGUCACCGGAUCAAUUCUUUUUUUAAAGAAAAAAUCAAAACAACGUCAUUUUAGUAAAAAAAAAAAAAAUCAACGGGUUGCAACCUGGUUUUUGACCGAGUCUUGCCGGGUCAACCGGGUUUUUUCUUUCCCUGUUUUUUCUUCAACCCAGCCCGAUUCUAGCCCCGGGUCGACCCACCGCACCGGACCGGGUUUUAAAACUAGGCUACUUCUUGAAUUUUUAAAAAUGUUGUUAUGCAAAUUAAAUAUGAUUUUAGAAUUGAUUUUUUACUUCAAAUCAUAAUUGUUUUUCAUAAGCAAUAAACUGCAUUACAACGUAGAAAUAAUUAAAAUUUAUCUUGAAUCAAGAGAAAGUGUGCAUAACCAGGAUAUCAUACAGUAAUAAUUUCAUGUACAUGCUAUAAAUCUUACUUCAGAUCACAUUUUAUCAUUCAUAUUGAUGUUUAUAAAUUAGAAAUUACAAUCAAGCCCUUGGAGUCAUGGUUAAAAAAUUUGAAUGAUAAGGAUAAUGUUAUACUUUUACUGUUCUAUCAAAUAUGAAAAUACAAAAACCCCUUUAUACAUGUAAUAAUCCAAUUUUGGAUUCUCCAAAUUUUCUUUAAAUGUUAUUUUAUUUUUAUUAUUAUUCAUAAAAAAUCCAAAAAAAAAGAAAAAAAAGUUAAAAUUCAAAAAUAUAUUUUUCUCGGGUCAACUAUCAUCUUCCAUAAAAAACAAGCCCAUCGGAUCAAUACGAGUUAAACCAUGUCGACCGAAAUAAAAAUUGAGUUUCAGGCCGUUUUGGGUCAAACCCGUCAUUUCGGUCAAAACUGAGUCCAUCGGGUCAAUACGAGGCAAACCAUGUCGACCGGGGUAAAAAUUGAGUUUUAGGCCUUUUCGGGUCAAAACUGUCAUUUUUUGGUCAAAACCGAGUCUACCAAGUUUAUACGGGUCAAACCUUGUUGACCAUGAUAAAAAUUGAGUUUUAGGCUAUUUUGGAUCAAAACUGUUAUUUUCUAUCAAAACCCGGUUCACCGGGUUGAUAGUGGUCGAAUUUGUUUUUAAUGGUUUUUGAAAUUGACCUGUUUGUUUCUGCGUUUCAAAAGCACUUUUGAAAAAAUUUGAAUUUUUUUUAUUUUUUUAUUAACUUCAAAUUAAUAUAUUUUUAGUGUUUUCAAAUCAUUUUGAAGUGCUUAUGUUAAAAAUAAUUUUUAAAAAAUAAAAAAAAAUCAUUGACAUGUAUUUUAGCACAAAAAAUUAUUUUAUUUUUCGGUAAUCAAAGUUAAUUUUUAGCGGUUGAACGGGCAUUUUUUAAUACUGAUCGGCGUUUUAGUUUUACCCACAUAUAUAUUUAUUAUUAUACAAAUCAAUAAUGCAGAAAUAUUUACUGUAGUAGUUGGUGCAGUUGAGGCAUGUGAAAUUUUUUCUUCGGACAAAGCCGUGUCUCCUGGUUAUAAAUGCCCUGUUCCCCUAGGCCCUAGUCAUUGGCUAUAAAAGCCAGUAAAAGAGAACAGAAAGGAAGAAGUGAAUCCUAACGCUGAUACUAUUAAUGUUUUUUUAGUUUUUCUUCACGCGAGUAAAGUAUUGAUUUUUUUUAAAAACAAUUUAAAAAAUACUAAAAAAUAUCCUAACCAUUAGAUUAAAUAGUAUUUAGUUCUGGAUCAAUAAUUAGAUCUGAUCAAACAGGGCAAAGUACACUAGAUUAAAACCCAAAUCCAUCUCAGCCCUUUAAACGGUCUGUCCUUUGAUCCUGUCUUGCCACGUCACCUGGUGUACCAAGCCCCAGGUGCAUCCUAUCACACUGAAGCAAAGCAAAGAUCUGACAAUCGGGGCCGUCUAUUAAUUUUUUUAACCGGGUCGCCUGAGUUAAUUUUUUUAUUAAAUCAAAACGAUGUUAUUUUAGUAAAAAAAAAAUCAACAGGUUGCAACUGGAUUUUUGACCAGGUCUUGUCAGGUCAACUGGGUCGCCGGGUCACACCAUGUUUUUUCUUUUCCUGUUUUUUCUUUAACCCGGUCCGGUUCCAGCCCCGGGUCGGUCGGGUCCUGGGUCGACCUGCCGGCCCGGACCGGGUUUUAAAACUAUGCUACUUCUUGAAUUUUUAAAAAUGUUGUUAUGCAAAUUAAAUAUGAUUUUAGAAUUGAUUUUUUACUUCAAAUCAUAUUUUUUUUUUCGUAAGCAAUAAAUUGCAUUACAACGUAAAAAAAAUUAAAAUUUAUCUUGAAUCAAGAGAAAGUGUGCAUAAUUAACCAGGAUAUCAUAUAGUAAUAAUUUCAUGUACAUGCUAUAAAUCUUACUUCAAAUCGCAUUUUAUCAUUCAUAUGGAUGUUUAUAAAUUAGAAAUCAAAUUAAUACACUUCUUUAUAGUAUAAAUUAGAAAUCAAAUUAAUACACUUCUUUAUAGUUAUAGAAUUCUUAAGAACUCUAGAGUUAACCUAACUUACGAAAUAUUGACUAGCAAUAAGAUCAAACUUAACUCUGCACCCAUUCCCAAAAGACGUUUCUUUGACAUAAUUUAUUACAUAGCUAAGAUAUAUCAAGCAUUCCAAUAUUUACUCCCAUAAAUAAUAUCAAAUCUCAAAUAUAUCAUGAUGUACACUAUUAUUUUGUCUUUUUUUAAAAGUUAAUUAUUGAGAAAAUUAUGUUAUUAAACUUUAUAAAGUUUGUGGAUCUAUUCAUAAGUUUGACUAGUUGAUCUAGUUUGUGGGUUUGACAAGUUUAACUCUUUUUUUUCAUCCUUAGAUAUUAGAUUAAUUGAGAAUUCAGUUUUAUAAUUGGUCUCGUUUUACCUUUUCAUUAUGAGAUUAUCACGGUCUAAAAAAAUCUCGGUACUGGGUUGAUAUUUAAUUUCGCAAUUGUCUAUUUUUGUUACCAUAUAGUUAAAUAAAAAAAUAGUUUCGAAAAAAAACAAAUUAUAAUCCUAAUGGAGCCCAUAACCCGGUUCAUAGUGCUAGCUCGGGUUACCCGAUUCACAUAUUUGACAAGUUUGCCCAAUAAUAGAACAUGUUUUUUUUUGUUUGGUCUUUUAAUUGUUUUUUUUUCUCGAUUUUAUCCUUCAAUAUUGAGUUGAUUGAGAAAUAGACUGCAUGGUUGAUUUUUGUUUUGCUUUAUAUAGGGAUAAUUGUCUCAAAUAAAUGUCUAUUUUUUGGUUGGUGUUCAAUUUUAUAAGCAUUUAUUUUUAUCAUAUAAUUAAAUAAAAAUAUUUUACAAAAAAGUUAUUAAACCCAAUAGAGUUCAUGACUAGGGUCGCGGGGAGACCGAGGUAGAUUUAAUUUGUCAUUGUCUCAAUAUUUUUUUUUAAAUCUGUCAUCUUGAAGUUUUUUUAAAAGUUACAUAAUAUUUUUACCGAUUAUCAAUGUUGCAUUUGGACUCAUGAAAUUGAUCGAUUUAAGUCGAGUUAGCUCCCACGUGAUUUAAUUAGAAACUCGAGUUAGACAAAGAACUGAGUCAGGAGGUUUGAAAAUUAAUAUUAUAAAAAAAUCUUGAUACUUUUAAUAUUUUUUAUAUUUUAAAAAAUUUAACCCGGCCCAUGGUGGAGCUCGAACCAAUAAACUAGUGUAAACUAAAAGGAAGAAAAGAAAAUCACAUGAAUCAUGCAUAUAAUAUUUAAGAACAAUCACAUUAUUCUUGCUGAAUUAGUCACAAAUUUUGUAGCAAUUACGUACACAUCAAAUAUAAUUGCACUUGAUCACUUCAUGCCAUAUAUUUUAGUAUCUAGAGUCAUGCUGAUAAGGUUUAUUGCCCAAAUUUAAGUUCAUUGGGGAUAUCAAUCACAAUUAAGUAGCCUUUCUUCGUUGAAACUUCGAAUAUACUACGUACCUAACAUAAAUCUGCCUAACUCCCUGCUAAUCAUGAGCCAAUUAUCAGUAAUUAAAUCCAUCUAGGCCUAGAACUUUAAAAACCAUUUGAUCAAUCAUCAAAGAAUAUAUAAACGAUUGUAGUCAUGUCAAAAGGGAUUCUUCCUCGAAUAAGCACAAUGUUAUAUAGUUAUAAAUGAGAUUAUUGCUGACAGCAAGAUUGCAUUAUCUAUGUAUAUUAAUUUAAUUAAAGAAAAGAUCAUGUCCCCAUAAAAAAAAAAGGAAAUUAAAAAGCAGGUUAUAAAGACAAAAAAAUGAAAAUAAAAAUAAAAUCAGUUCUGCCUUGCAUAGAUUAAUUAAUGGUAUGUUGGGCCAAACCAUGCUGAACUACUAUACACGCAUCACUUAAAAAAAAAGGAAACCGAAAUGAAUCAAACGAAUCAAGAAGGCGGCGGAGCGAUAGACGCGUGCAAAGCAUGCGUUAAAAUCUUUUUUGUUUUUUCCCUUAUUUGUAUAAAAUCAAAAAGGCCCUUAAGACUAAACAAUAAUAAUAUACAAAACCACGAUGAAUUUACAAUCAAGCCCUUGGAGUCAUGGUUAAAAAAUUUGAAUGAUAAGGAUAAUGUGAUACUUUUACUGUUCUAUCAAAUAUGAAAAUACAAAAACACCUUUAUACUUGUAAUAACCCAAUUUUGGAUUCUUCAAAUUUUCUUUAAAUGUUUUAUUUUUAUUUUUAUUAUUAUUCAUAAAAAAUGCAAAAAGAAAGGGAAAAAAAAGCUUAAAAUUCAAAAAUAUAUUUUCUCGGGUCAACCGCCAUUUUCCAUGAAAAACAAGCCCAUCGGAUCAAUACGAGUCAAACCAUGUCGACCGGGAUAAAAAUUGAGUUUCAGGCCGUUUCGGGUUAAACAUGUCAUUUGUGGUCAAAACCGAGUCCAUCGGAUCAAUACGGGUCAAACCAUGUCGACCAAGAUAAAAAUAGAGUUUCAGGUCUUUUCGGGUCAAAACCGUCAUUUUGUGUCAAAACCAAGUCCACCUGGUUUAUGUGGGUCAAACCAUGUUGACCGAGAUAAAAAUUGAGUUUUAAGCUAUUUUGGGUCAAAAUUGUUAUUUUUGAUUAAAACCUGUUUUACGAGGUUGAUACUGGUUAAAAAAGUUUUAAGUGAAGGUAACCUUUUUCUUGAAAGGAUGUUUUAAGGGUGAUGUCUACCUUCCCUUAAUCAUACCUAACCCAGUAGCUGAAUCUUUGGGACCAGUAUCUAAUUUGUGAUUUCUAAUUUCCUUAAAUUACAAGAUAACGACUCCAAUUAAAUCUUAAUUUUCCCCUAUUAAUCUUUUUGUUAAAUAAAAAAAGUGGAGCAAUCGUGCAAUCCUCAAAAGAAGUUUAUAUGAUAACCCCGUGCAAUCCUCAAAAGAAGUUUAGUUUUUUUUUUAUUGUGCAUUAAAAAACAUAACCCCAUGCAAUCCUCAAAAGAAGUUUAUAUCAUCCUGAAAAGACCAACCUAACACCCCUAUGCCAAGUUAAAAGAUCAAAUAACUAAUGAAUAAUAUAGUAAUUAUAUUAUUGUAAUGACUAGUAAAUUGUGUAUAGAGACACAAUCGCUACGGGAAAUAGUUUUUGUAGAUAAUUUUUAUGAAGGUAUUUUUAUUCUUAUUGAUUACAUCAUUUGUUGUCUUGGUACAGUUCUACUUGAGGAUUUGGUCAAGUUUUUUGAAUCCAUUUGGAUUAUUUCAUUCCCACCAGAGGGCUUGUCUUAAUUUAUAAUGCAUCUGUAUGGGGAUUCGGAGGUCAUCGCGAAUCACCCAAAUAUUUACGCGUUCCUUGUCGUGGUUUCGUAGAAGGAAAGUGAAAAUCUACGGAAGAAUCUGUAGAAAUGACUUAUACUUGUGAAAUACUGAAACCAUAAACUCUUUUUGCUUACUUCUUGCAAGGGGGGAAAUAAAAAAGAGACGAAGCUUAUCAUUUCAGAUUUCAUCAUGCAAAGAAUACCCGAAACAUUAAUUGGGAUUUUUUUUUUAAUUUUAUAAUCAUCGUUUGAUUUAUUGAAAAGUAGUUAUUAAUUAGCCAUUUAAUUAAUGACUAAACAACAGAAAAUAAGAGUUAAUACGGAAGGAGCAAUAUAAAGAAAAACGAAAUACAAAAAUCUCUAUUUCCUUAAUUACCUAAAUUAAUUUUGGGAUUUAACUAGACAAAGGAAUCAAUUUACCUCCCUGCAAAGCAUGCACUAAACAGUCAUGCACUACACCAUUAAACAGUUUUACUUAGUCCGUCGGUCACAGGAAUGAAAUCCGUCGGUGAAAUAAUUACAGACGGCCUCACCGACGGAACACGUCCGUCGGUAUAACAGUCGUCGGUAAAAUCCAUUUCCGUCGCUAAUUCUAUCGCAAAUAAAAAAAAAACACACACCGACGGUCUUACAGACGGAUACACGCGCGCAAAAAAAAAAAGUUUCCCGCGGGAACAUUACCGACGGAAUAAAUCCGUCUGCAAUUUCAACGGUAAUCACCGACGGACUUACCGACGUAUAAUCCGUCGGUAAUUAUGGCAUGGCUGGUAAUUGUUUGGCAACUCUCUGUGGAAUACCGACGGAUACUAUCCGUCGGUAAAUCCGUCGGUGAUUAAUACCGACGGAUAUAUAUCCGUCGGUAAUUAUGGCAUGGCUGAUAAUUGUUUGGCAACUCUCUGUGGAAUACCGACGGACAUUAUCCGUCGGUAGGUAUGUAAAAUAUAUAUAAAAAAUAAUUUUGUUUAUAGUAAAAAACCUUAAUAAACAAAUAACAAUGGAUUAAACAUUAAAAAUAUAAAAGUAAUGUUAAAUAAUAUUCAUUACAAAUUUAAUGUGUUUUUUUAAAAAAUUAAACUAGAAUAGCGGCGGAGCUGGAGGAGGAGGAGGAGGAGGAGGAGGAGGCUGGUUGUUCCCGGGACUAUACGGCCAAAAAGAAGCAGCACAAGUAUCGUCACCUAUCUUUGAUCUCAUCUCCAUGACUAUUUGACGGAGCUCAUCAUAAUUCGUCGAGAGUUGUUGAUAUUGUUGUUUCAACGCAAUGAACUCCUCAGACUGGGUGUUCGAUACUGAUGGAGAGCUUCCAACAGUUGAGACACUACGAGCCGAACACAAGUUUUCAGCCGUAGUGUUGGAGAGCCCGUAGACCCGAUUUUUAUCGGUUCCACCAGACGAUCCCGCCUCCAUCCACAAAUCUGGAUCGAAAUCUGGAUGGGUCGACGGAAUGUCCCCAUAUCUCUCCCUCAACCGGCUAUUAUAGGUCUCCUGAAAAUUCUGUCGGUAAAAAAAUCAUUAAAUGCAAUUCAAGAUGCAAUUCAAGAAAAUAAUAACUUACAAAAUAAAAUGAAUGAACGAACAUACCACAAAGUGCUGAGCACGGUUGUCCACGAACUGCUGCACCCCCUUUUGGCGGUCUUGACUCCGCACAUGCGUCUCUACAAACAGCUCCAUUGGACUCGGUUCACGUCCAAGAGAUGCAGCCUGUAAGGAAAAAAUAGGUUGAAAGUUAAAUAUAUUAUAAGAAACGACAAAUUAUUUAACGAUAUAUUUCAUUGAAAUUAAUCUUACCAUCCGCUUUGCAUGUGCGCUGAAUGAGACUGAUCCGCCAGUGUGCGUGGUCACCGAACCAUGAAUUUGCCGGUUCCGGUUGUCGGCGCCGGACUGUGAGCGCCGUGAGAACCGCUCUGAGGUCACGUGCUCAAUAUAUGCCGUCCAUAUUUCCCCCGAGAUGAAUGGCGGUUUGAAUUCCUACCAAACCGCCACCUCAUUCCAUCCUUCAAGACCGUUAUCCCUCGCUUGUCUUUUUGAUUUUUUUUGGGUGUCAUACCAAAAAUCACGCAACCUACUUCCAUAGUAACAAAUUAGAAUUUAAAACAUAAAAUUAUAAAACAAAAAUAAAUAUUAUUUUCGAUGUUACCUAGUUGCCGCGUGAUUCUCCCAUACCCUCCUCACAACAUUGUUGUCCGCCCUAUCCCACUCAAAUUUGUUCUGUGUAUAUAAAUAAUUCAUAUAAAAUAAGAAUAGUACAAGAUAUAAAAUUAUAAAAAUCAUUUAUUAAAAAUAAGCUGGAAAUUAAAAAUUUACACCGACCUGAAAUCGCCUAAACCAUGCAUCGAUAUUAGGUUUCCACUCAGGAUGUCUGGAAACCUGGCUCCAUUGAAACAAUGGAAUCUUCAUCGACGAUUUAAACGCCAAUGUUAUAGUCCUUGCAGCCUCAAUGUUUGUGAACCUGAAAUUAAAUAAAAGUAGUAAUAUUAAUUAGUUGUUCAUAAAUUAUGUUAUAAGUAUAUAAAAAAAAACACUAAAACCUAAACAAACUUACAUUGAGAGGUCAUCCUUCCAUUGUGCCUGGUACUUACGGGUGAAUUGACCCCGCUGUGAAGGCACACCGCUUCUGCGCUGUGAAACCGCGCUAGAAUUAGAGGCAGCAUCACAAGUUGGCGUAGAUUCCUCGCCGUGAUCAGCACCUAAGGAUACGUCCUCCUCGUUGCUAGAAGAACUAGCUGCAACCGUCUGGUGACGACGUAUUGUAGAUUUCAUUCUACGCAUCUACACAAAUUUAUACGAAUAAUUACAUAAUUAACUUCGAUUAUUUUAAAAAAAAUUCGAUAGAGUCUCCCCUAUACUGAGGGGUCACAAGUUAUCGACAAAAUCAUAUUACACUUCCAAUUUUAUUUCACAUCCCGAUCCAAUCAUCCUGGAUCUCAACCCAACUCAUCAUCAUCAACACAACAUUUUAUUCAAUAACAUCAUAUAAUGAUAUUCAAGUAAAAGAAUCAAUUUCAACUAUGAACAUUCAUUGUUAAAUUGGUACUUAGAGUUACAAACAUUAGAUUAAAGUCAUACAUUCAAAUUUACGGAUUAAUAUUACAUUUCAAGUUUGAGGAGACAAGACUCUUAAUUUAUAAAUAAUUACAUGGUCAAAAACAAAAGAUAACUAAAUCAAUAUCAUUCCUAACACGAUCGACCCUAAUGGACCUCAAAAUAAAAAUUAACGUGUACACAUAAAUAUAAAAAUGUAAUAACAAGCAAUAACAAUGACAUGGAAACAAUAAUAUCCUAAAUUAAGAUAAACUAAUUAAAAGUAAUUCUAUAUAUAUAAAUUAACAUUUUUAACAUAAAUUCAACAAUAACAUUUAUAGCAAUACAAACAAUAAUAUCCUAAAUUAAGAUAAACUAAUUAAAAGUAAUUAUAUAUAUAUAAAUUAACAUUUUUAACAUACAUUCAACAAUAACAAUUAUAGCAAUACAAACAAUAAUAUCCUAAAUUAAGAUAAACUAAUUAAAAGUAAUUAUAUAUAUAUAAAUUAACAUUUUUAACAUAAAUUCAACAAUAACAAUUAUAGCAAUACAAACAAUAAUAUCCUAAAUUAAGAUAAACUAAUUAAAAGUAAAUCUAUAUAUAUAAAUUAACAUUUUUAACAUAAAUUCAACAAUAACAAUUAUAGCAAUGCAAACAAUAAUAUCAUAAAAUUAAUAAAUAAAAUUAAAAAACUAAAAAACAUUACACAAAACAACAUAAACACAAAACAAACAAUACACAAAACUAAAAAACACUAUAUCAAUUCAAAAUAAAUUUGGGAAUAAAAAAUGCUUACCUUAAUAGUGUGUUGAAUGUAAGAUUUUAUCUACAAACAACACACAAAACAAAGAACACCAAAAAAAAUAAUCAUAAUUAAAAUAAAAAAAUACAAAGAUAAAGAAAAAGGAAUACAUACCUUGGUAAAAUCACAACCACCAAAACAAAGAAAUCUCUUCAAUUUAACAAAUAGAAACGGAGAGGAGAAGAGAAAUGGAGAAGAAGAGAAACGGAGCUGAGAGAAAAAAAUGAACCAAAUGGGGGGGGGAGUGGGGAUUUAUAUGGCAAUUUUUCCGAUGGAAUUACCGACGGACAUUAAUUGUUGUCGGUGGCAUUAAAUUCCGUCGGUAAUUCCGUCGGAAAUUAAUUGAAUUGCGCACCAAAAAAAGUUCGAAAAUCCCGCCAAACUUUUUGAUCCGUCGGUAUUCGUGCAGACGGACACGUGUCAGACAUGCGUGCGCUUCGGGAAGUGCGUAAAUCCGUCGGUAAUAGACGUCGGUACAGCCGUCGGUAUGUGUGUAGACGGACACGUGUCAGACAUGCGUGCGCUUCGGGAUGUGCGUAAUCCAUCGGUGAUUCCGUCGGUAGUGUACGUCGGUGAAUGUGGCACAAUCCCGUAAUUAUUUUGCAACUCUCUGUGAGAUACCGACGGGUUACAUUCCGUCGGCAAUUCCGUCGGUGAAUGUGGCACAAUCCCGUAAUUUUUUUGCAACUCUCUGUGAGAUACCGACGGGUUAUAUUCCGUCGGUAAACCCGUCGGUGAAACCGUAAAUUUUUCUUAUUUUUUUAUGUAACGCUUUCAAAAAAUCUUGAAUUGCAAUAUUACAGCACACACAACACAAUAACAAGGGCUGACCAUUAAAGAAGAAUAAAUAUUUCAUGUUUCAAAUUAUUGCAUAAUUAUAAAAUAAGGCUUUAUAACAUGUUUAGUUAGUCAGAAUUUUCAAUUAAAAAUGAUCACGAGUUCAAAUUUUUACCACUUUAUUUUUUUUAUACUUAAAAUAAAAUCAACAUAGCUAAUAAUAAAUUUAUGCAAGUUUUAAAUUAAAAGAAUUCACACAAAAAAUUGCAUUAAAAAAUAAUAUAAAAUCAUCAUCAAAAUAUUAGCUUACUACCAUGAGACAUGGAGCAUUCAUUUAUGAUUUUCCAACUACUUCUAUAAGUAUAAGAGUUGACCCUUCCCAUUGUACGUGGUCAUGACGUUUCAAUGAAAUUAAUCUCUAGUCAGUUAAAGUGUGGGAAAAAUAAAAAAGAGACGCAGCUUGUCGUUUCUAACUUGAAAAUGCAAAGAUUACCUCUAAAAUUUGGAAUUUAGUCAAAGGAAUCAAAUUAGCGGCGCCCUGCAAAUUAUGCGUUGAGCAUUUGUGGGCUGGAUUCAACCUAACCUAUAAAACAAAUCAAACUAAAUCGAUGUAUUUGGAUUUCAAAAAAAAAAUAAAAAUGAUGCGUGCAACAUAAGUUAAUAAAUUCACCUAACAUUUUGAAGACAUGCUGAUGGUUUUGGGACGGCAGGAUGGGCCGGUAAGGGACUGAGCCGAUGGAUCUGAAUUAUUAUUAUUAUUAUUAUUAUUUUUUAUUAAUAUGGGUGUCCAGGUCAGCUUGCGCGCAUCUUAACUAAUCUCACGGACCCUGAAGUUAACGACCAUGUAAGCCUCCAGUCAUGGACGAAGCCAAUAAUUUUUCCUCUCCAGAGCUAUUAAAUAAAUAUAUAAUUUUUUUUAAAGAUUAAUUAUUAACUUAUGUACAUGAAUUUUUGAAGUUAACAAUAAAGUUUUAAUUCAAAUACACUACCCAAAAUAUUAAAAAAUAAAUUUGAAAGUAUAUAAAAUUAAAGUGAAAGUAAAAAUAAACCCAUUAUUGAAGUUAUGUCCUUCGAUAUUUUGUGGAAUAUAAUUCAUCUAUAAUCGAAUCUGAAUCGAUAUUGUAACAACCCCUCAACCGGGAUAAAAUAGCAAUCUCAUGUCAACUGAAAAAUAAAGUAAUUAAUUUUUUUUCUCUCUCAAUUCCUCUUUCCUUCACUUGAUUCUUCAUUAGAUUAGUGUUUUAUAAGUUGGAUUUUGUAAGUUUACAAGGUUAUUCUCUCACUUUUUUUAUUUUUUCUUUGGAUUUUUUUUAUGUUUUCUCUUAUUUUCUCUCUUUCUCUCUCGCCUUUUUUUUUCUUUCUUUUCCUAUUCUGCUUCUACCCAGUCGGCAACAUAUAAAAAGAAGGAAGAGCUGAUUUGUUUUAUUUUUUAAUGGCAAAUAACUAUUUUACCCUUAAUGAGUCGUUUUGCUUUUAUUUGACGGUCCUUUUUUUUUGUUAGCACUACAAAGCUCCGUUCAUUCUAAAAUUUUAACCAGAUUUUAUUCAAUAUAUUUGAAGAUCUCUUGUAAAAUUUCAGCUCAAUCUGAUGGUCGGAUUGAAAUUAUGCCCAAUAACGUAAAACUGGUCAAAUUGUGAUUUUUCAUCAAAUUUCUGAAUUUCUCCAAAAAUUAUAAAAUUUUAACCUAAGCUAAAGCAUUAUAUUAAAAGGCUCCAAGAAAAUUUUCAGAAUUUUUUAAUAACUCAAUCGAGAAUUAUAAAUUGUUUUUACAUAAAACUAGUAAAAAAAUAUAUAUUGAUAAAAUCUUGACCUGGGCUAGCCUUUAACAUGCCUUCACUCUUGCUUCCACUGGCCCUGAGAUUUGUGAGAUUCGAACUGGUGAUCUCUAAAAAACAAACUUAAAACGUGAUUAGUUGAGCUACACCUCUCAGAAUUGAUGGAUCUGAAUUGUUAUACACCAAAGAUGAUGCAGUAAGAUUUGGGAAGGUUAAAGUAUCAAUCAAAACCAGAUUCACCACGCGUCUAAUAUGUAAUUGUUAGGUAUCGAAGAUAAUUUUUUUUAUUAUAGUCAAAACUAAUACAAGUUUUGAAUAAUUCUCAAACCCAAUCCUUACCAUAAUAUAAUAUUUUCUUGCUAGGUAUCUUUAUAGCACACAAGAACAUCCAAUAUCAUCUCUAAAUUAAAAAAAAUUAGGUCUAAGUACAGGCAUAUUUAUAAAUAAAGAACAUGUAUAACACUAAAACCUAUAAGAAUUCUUUUUUCUAGACAAAAACAAUCUUACAUUUAUAAAGUCUUCAUUAAUAUUCUUACUCCACCCACCAACUUUCAAAACGAUAUUUUAAAUGGAAGACAAUUCUCUUAAAUAUGAAAAUAGACUCUUGAAUUAUGCCAUUAUCCAUAAAAAAAACUAACUAUUACGUACAAGAAUACAUAUACGUGGAUGGAUAGAUAAUUAUAUCCCAACCUUGACAUGUCCUCAAUAUUUCCAAACUUGUUAAUUAGUUUUGACGUCAUCCUAUCAAAUUAUGAACGUAUUGACAUGUCCCUUGUUAAUUAGUCUAUUUGGGUUGUUACAUAGUAAUAUAAAAUAAGAAAUAUUAUUAGAUUAUUGUCUCACAAUUUAACUCUUGAAUUGAGAUAACUUCUUAGUAUAAUAUUAUCAUUGAAUAAUUUCUACGGACACCACGAUGGUAGAUUGUAGUAGGUGAAACACAUAUAAGAAAGAUCAAGAUAAAAAAAAAAACCAAUUAGGUACUAUUUUGUUAUUAUUUCAAGGUAAAAAAACAGAGAGAUAAUCGAAAUAAAAAUAUGUUUGAUUAAAAAAAUAAAAAUAAAAAAAUAAAAUAAAUAUGUUUUUUAUGAUAAUUAAUUUUUCAGUAAAUUUUUAUAUUUUAAAAAUAAAAAUUACAAAAAUUAUAUCCUUUUAGUCUCUUUUAUUUUGAUACAGUAAUCGAAUUCUACUGCAAUGAUUACAUGCAAUUAUUCAAUAUAUAUAGGUUUAGAUUCCUAUUAAAAGAAGGGGUAUUGAUUAAUAUCUAAAAACCAUCUCAAUCCAAUAACUUAAACUAUUAAGUAAAGUUUUUAUAUUAUUCUCUAACAAUCAAUAUAGUUAACCUGACAUGCAUGGAAUUCUAUAUAAAAUGGAGCCUACCCAGGGUACAAGAAACCAUCACUAGUCAUACACACAAAGAAAGAUAUGGACUAUGAAAUUGCAGGUCUGGUUCUAGCAGUCUUGCUAUGGGUUGCAUGGGCAGUGGUGACUCAACGUCGUUACCGUCGUUUUGAAGAGCAAGGGCAGCUACCACCAGGGCCUAGACCACUGCCAGUGGUUGGCAAUAUCUUCCUGCUGGGUUGGGCACCACACGAGUCUUUUGCUAAUUUGGCUCGUGUUCAUGGUCCAAUCAUGACCAUUUGGCUCGGGUCCAUGUGUAACGUGGUCAUUUCCUCGAGCGAAGUGGCUCGUGAGAUGUUCAAGAAUCAUGAUGCGGUGUUGGCUGGGAGAAAAAUCUACGAGGCUAUUAGAGGUGAUUUUGGCAAUGAAGGGUCUAUAAUCACAGCCCAAUAUGGACCGCAUUGGCGCAUGUUAAGGCGCUUAUGCACCACCGAAUUCUUUGUGAGUAGCCGCCUUGAUGCCAUGCAGGGUGCACGAACUAGGUGCAUCGAUGGCAUGCUGCAAUACAUAGAAGAUGAUAGUGCCAAUGGCACUAGCGCUAUUGACCUUGGGAGAUACUUUUUCUUGAUGGCUUUUAAUCUUAUUGGCAACCUCAUGUUUUCUAAAGAUUUAUUGGACCCAAAAUCGGAGAAGGGAGCUAAGUUUUUUCAGCAUGCAGGUAUAGUCUUGGAGUUGGCAGGUAAGCCUAACAUGGCUGAUUUUUUUCCAAUUUUAAGAUGGCUUGAUCCACAAGGUGUAAGGAGGAAGACACAGUUCCAUGUUGCAAGAGCCUUUGAGAUUGCAGGAGGGUUCAUCAAAGAAAGAACAGAGAGUGUGCAAAAGGAAAAUAGUAGAGAUGACAAGAGGAAAGAUUAUCUAGAUGUCCUUUUGGAGUUUCGUGGUGAUGGCGUGGAGGAGCCCUCUAGAUUUUCUUCAACAACGAUCAAUGCGAUUGUCUUAGUAAGUAGCAUCUCUUUUCCUAUGGUUCUCUUUUCUGUCCUAUCUUUGCAUACAAUUUUGUGUUUUUGUUCGGAGGCGGCGAAGCCUGUGUUAAUAUAAUUGUCUACCUAGUAAGUAACAUCUCGUUUGACAGCUUUGUUAAGCUCAGACCUCUGUUAGUAAAGUACUCCGCCCCGCUGAUAGGUUUACCUUCAGCUCUAGCUUGUGUUGGCCUUUUUUUUUAAAAAAAAAAAUCAAUCCAGAUUGAAUUAGUUGAUUGGACAUAUUAAUCUGUUACUCGGUUAGAAUUUCAUUGAUUUUUUUUCAAAAUUAUUGUUUUGAUCUUUAAAAAGAAUUUUAUUAGACUUACUUAAAAAUCAAUCUCAUGAUCCGAGACUUACACUGAAUGCAACUCCGAGUUAGGUCUAAUUAUAACUAUGGCUUGGACUAUGGAAACUAUAGUUCUACAUAAACGGUGGAACCAAAAAUUUAUCAAACCCGGCCUGAAUCAGUAGAUUAACCUAGAACCCAAUUGAUUUGACCUGUUGUUUAAGUUGAAUUUUAAAAUAAAAUUAACUUUGAGAUGAUACUGUUUGGCUUGAUCGACACUACUAGUUAAUUUGAUCAAAAUUUUAUUUGAUUUUUUUAAUUUUUUUUUAAAAUAAUAUUGUUUUGAUUAAUUUUAUUUAAUUCACCCAACUCAUGACUCAAAGUUUAAACUAGGUAUAAUAUCUUUGUUUUUAAGUAAUGUUCAAAAACAUAAAUUAAUUAUCAUAUUUAUCUCGGGCCUGGGUUUUUUCCAAACCAUAGUAAAGAAAUUAUUAGGAGAUAAUAUACAAAAUUAAAUCACUAACAAUCUUAAUUAUUGUCAUGAUUUUUUCUUAUAGGAAAUGUUUACGGCAGGGACUGAUACAACAACAAGCACUUUGGAAUGGGCCAUGGCUGAACUUCUACGUAACCCUAACGUAAUGAAGACAGUCCAAUCCGAGUUGAGAAGCACCAUUGGCCCCAACAAGAAGCUCGAAGAUAAAGACAUUGAGAAUCUCCCAUACCUAAAGGCAGUCAUCAGGGAAACACUGAGACUUCACCCUCCUCUCCCUUUUUUAGUCCCGCACAUGGCCAUGAACCCUUGCAAGAUGCUAGGCUAUUACAUCCCUAAAGAGACAACAAUUCUAGUUAAUGUGUGGGCCAUUGGAAGGGAUUCAAAGACUUGGGAUGACCCUUUGGUUUUCAAGCCAGAAAGGUUCUUGGAACCAAACAUGGUGGAUUACAAAGGUCGUCAUUUUGAGUUCAUACCAUUUGGUUCUGGCCGUAGAAUGUGCCCUGCCAUGCCGCUCGCUUCUCGUGUACUUCAUUUGGCUCUUGGAUCGCUCUUGCUUUCAUUUGAUUGGAUUUUGCCAGAUGGCCUCAAGCCAGAGGACAUGGACAUGACUGAAAAAAUAGGGAUAACACUUCGAAAAAAUGUUCCUUUAAAGGUCAUACCAACACCUUACAAGGGGUCAUCACAUCAUUAUGGGUUUUGAGUUGAAAUGAGAUCUUCUAAAAAAAUAGACUCGUAACCUAAAUUUUAGGCAAGCCAGACACAGGCUGUGUCUUAUAUCUAAGUUACAAAAUGUUAUAUUAGUAUUGUAUUCAAUUUAGUUGUUUGAGUCAUAUAUUUUGUUGUUAUCCAUUUUUGGAUUCCCCACAAAAAAUAAAAAAAAUACAAAAAAAUACACAUCAAAAAAAUAUAUUCGGAAGGAAUAAAAAAAAAAUAGGAGUGAGAAAAAGUUGCUGGAACUACCAUAAAAUGGCUAGGAAUUGGUUGAGGAGGUUCAGAAAUACAAGAAUUGAAAUUUGACAGUAAGAACCCUGUUGAUAAGGAAAAUUCAAUUUGAGGAAGAAAAGUCCAAAAUUAGAUGUUUAUGAACUCAAUUAAAUUUUAUCCAAGGUUUAAUUGAAUUUAUAGAGGGUUUGAUUGCAAGAAAAUUGAUUUCUUAAGUCAAUUUCGGCUUUUAUUGGAAGAAAUUAAAAUUCUGGGGUCCAAUUAUAAUUUUAAAGAGUUGAUUUGGUCAAAUCAGAGGCUUAAUUGCAUAAUUAUUCAAGUUUGAUGGUCAAUUAAGGACUUAAUUGAAACAAUCCAAAACCAAGGACUAAAUCGGAAAAAGCGCUAACAUCAAGGGGUCUAAUUAUAAUUUUUCUAGGGGGCUUGAUUACAAAAUUGUUAAAACAUCCAAGGACCAAAUCAGAAAUAUUCUUUUUGAAUUAGAAAACGACGCCGUUUCAUUUGUUCAUCACCUUCUUCAUCUGCAACGGUUUCUACAGUAAAGGCAAUGCAGGCGUUACCAGCUUCAAUCAAGGAGCACGUUUAGCGGCUGACAUCCCUCGCCACCGUGAUGCACGCCGGCCGUUACCACGAAACGCCUGCGUCCUCUGGCUAUAAAAGCCAGAGGAGGAACCGAACCGGGGAGGAGGAGGGUGAAGACGCGACAGGAAAAAAAGAGAGAAAGAAAGACAGAAGAGGCAUAGUGAGCAGUACGUGAGGAGAAACAGAAGCAGGCAAAAGGCAGGAGGAAGAAGAAGAAAAUACAGAAAAAACCAAAACAGCGUCCCCCGCUUACCACCACCCGUCUUCCUCUUCGCCGCAACCAACAGCACCGCUAGCACCAGCAACACCUCCACGGAGCCACUGCAGAGAGGCAAGAACACUGUUGACGGGAGAAACGAAAUACAGAGGAAACAAGCAGUACGGCGAAGCAGAGGUGAGAAGAAAGAGAAGCAACGUCUGCCACCACAGCCGGGUGCCGCGACGUCAGCUUCUCACCAUCGUCCUCCCCCUGCUGCAACACCCGUGAAGAAGAAGAAGAAGCCUGCGCCUCUGCACAGACGGGAAGAAUAGCAGCAAACACUGCCCGCCACCGCAGAGAAGAGCCAUCGUCUGCAGCCACCAGUGCCACCUUAAGCCACCAUCAACAACGACAUCACCACCAUUAGAAGUAGAAGAAGAAAAAGAGAAACAGGAGACAGAAGCGGGGAGAAGAAGGAACACAGAAAAAACAAAGAGAAGGAAUAGAACCACCGCCCAACAGCAUAUAACCGGCAGCUUCAGCUCCCGCAAGAACGGACAACCGCCAGGUAAGCCUCCACUUCUCUUCUUCUUCUUCUUCCUCGCCCGGGCUGCUCCACUGUUCACGUUGCAUGUGAACAGUGGAGAGUUCUCCACUGUUUGUUUUUGUUUACUGGGCUGGGCAGUGCCGGCCCAGCCCAAAAUGAGUGGGCCGGGUCCGGCCCAGCCCAAAAAUAAAAAAACUGUUUUCAGAAAAUUUGUGAUUUCCCCGCGUAUUUUUUAUUGUAUUUUGAUCAAUAUUGGUUUGUAUUUUUAUACUGUAAAGAUAUAAAUCCGGUAUUAAAAUACCUAGUUUUCGUCAAAACAUAAAAAAAAUAUUUUGUCUUCAUGCAUACGGCCAAGUCUCUAAAAAAAAUCAUAUCAUAUUUUCAUACAACAAAAAUUCAAAAAAAAUAGGUAUUAGCAUGCAUUUUGACUUUAAUAACCAGUUUAUUAAAGUCACGAGAACUAAGCCAAUAUUUCAAAAAUUUUUAAAAAAAUUAUUUUGUUUUCUUUUAAUAUCUAGGGUUAUGAUCUUAUAUGUAAGACAUAUUCCGGAUAUUAAAUUCUUUUGUUGAGGUUAGAACGAUUAGGUUUUACCCGAUAAGAUAAGGACCUCUUUACUUUGGAGAACUUUUUUUAAAUCAGAGACGGACCAACAACUAGAAAACACGAUAAGACUUUAGAUUUUAUCAGACAAUAAAACAAUGCAGCUUACCUUAGGUAGGGCGUAUUUAGAGUGCUAAUACAUUCCCUUUACGCAACCAGUCCCCGUACCCAAUCUCUGAGACCAGUUAGGGUUCCUAAUGAUCAAAAUACUAGGUGGCGACUCUCAUUCCAUUUUUCCACUAAUAAAAGACAAGAAUUCCUUGUCUCCCCACAUUUGCCACAUUUUUAGAUAAUACAGAAUUUGAGGGUGGAUGUUUUCGUCGCGACGCAGCACACGUGCGACAUAUUUGAUUCUUAAUUUGUAUGUGCAUGUAUAUUAAUGUCUAUCUAUAUAUAAUCUAGUUGUGGAGAAGUUUUUUUAAUUAAUUAGCGUGUUUGGUAAUGCGGUUUAACCUAUUUUUCAAACUAAUUUUUAUUUUUAAAAAAUAUUAAAUUAAUGUUUUAAGGUGUCUGUCGAUGAUUUUGAUGUAUUGAUGUUAAAAAUAAAAUAAAAUCUAAAAACAAUAUUAUUUUGAUACAUUUUUAAUUGAAAAACACUUUAAAAAACACUGUGCACUUCAUUAACAAACACACACUAAAAAUUUCACAACCCAUUUCUAGGUUAUUCCCUUAAAUUUACCCUUUAUUUCCUUUUUAAAGUAAAAAUAAAUAAUAAUACAAAGGAAAUUGGCGAUGAGGAAAAAACUGGCUAAGGAAGGAUUUCAAAUAUGCAUAAAAUCAAGCUACAAUUUUGGACAAAGUCGAAAGCCUGAUCGUGCCCUGUUGUGCUCAAAACUAAAGAAACAAUGCAGAUCUAAGGUCAAAUUAAAUGAUAUUGGAUGAAUCUGCAUAAUAAUUAAGUUCAAGGACAUAAUUAGAUUUUUAAUAGUCUAAUUUGAUUUAAUCAUGGGUCAAAUUAAAAGUUUAAUUAUGUUCAAGAAUUAAUUUGGGUGCAAUUAAAGGAUUUAAUUAUGUGCAAGGACUUAAUUAUACUUUAAAUGGGUCAAAUUAAUUUUAUUAGGGGCUUAAUUGGAGAAAAAUUAAGUUUGAGAGCCUAAUUUUAGCUUAAUUGAGAAUGUUAAAAUUUUAGAUGAUCAAAUUUAAUUUUUACCAAGUCAAUUGAUUCAAAUCAGGGGUGAAAGUGCGAGAAAAUAAAAAGUUUGGUGUCAAUUAAAGGCUAAAUUGAAGAAAUUCAUAGCCAAUGAGGAUUAUUUUGCAUAAAUCCAAGACCAAGAACCAAAAUGAAAAAGGCGUUGAAAUUUGGGGUUGGCAUUGAAUUUUGGCAAGGGCAAAAUUGCAUAAAAUUAGAAGUUUAAGGUCAAUUAGGUGUCCAAUUAAAAGAAAUUAAAAGUCGGAGGAUCUAAAUGAAUUUUAGCUAAACCGCUAAAUUAAAACCCUAAAAAUUCCAAAACAACACCAUUUUGAACAGUAAAAAAAAGGAUCAUACAACGUGUUGUCUAAUUUUAUUUGUCUUUUUUUUUCUUCAGGUCAAAAUGACUGCCAAGGGGGCUACUUUUAAGGGGCAUUUAAUGUUUCUUCUCUCCUUCAAAUUUGACAAAACAUAUAUGAAAAUGAUGGCCUAACAUUCUACCAUACCCCGAUAUGGUUUUUUCCGGCUAAUUGACACCAUAGCGGCUCCUUAAAAUGGCCAACCGGACUAACAUUUUAGUAGCUAUAUUGACAGUUCAUUAUGACCACUUUGAGUUAACGAUUAAGAUCUUUCUGCGUCAAAUCAAGGGCCAAGAUUUAACAUCAGUAAAGACAAAAUGCUCAUCUUCCACCCCCAAAGUUUGGACCAUACUGAUAUUUCACAAUGGUGGCUUUCUAUCCAUUUACAUUAAUAAACAAAGACAGGAGGUGGAAAUUGCCUCUCCACCUUAUUAUCUUACCAAACCACUUAGAUGUCAUUAGCAUAACCCCAUAAAAGGUUACAGUUCAUGCAGUAAAAAGUAUAAACGAAUACGGGUAAAAGAGUGAUUAGAUUAAAUUCAUUGAAAGUUUUUAGAAAAUAAAAUAGUGAAGGACAAGGAAUGUUUGGACAACAAAAAUAUAGACACUGACAGCGACAGCUGGAAUGCAUGAGCCAUCUAAUGCAUGCAAGUUGGAGACCUAAUUAAGGAAAACAAGUACGAGUACUCCUCAAAUCAUAACAGGGUGGAGAAAGGAAAAACUGGAAACAAACCAGAGUUGUGUUUUCCAUAAGCAAAGUAUAUUACCACAUCCUCUUUUUAAUAAUGAUAAGCAUCCAUCAGUUGAUCCAACCAUGCGAAAAUGUUGGGGAUCUUCUUUUGAUGCACUAAGCAGCACUUUUGGCCGCUUGUGUUUCUGAAGCUUCCUGAGUACUCCAGGCAUCUCAUUGCUUUCUCGUUCACUAUCUGAACACAAGGUACCCGAUUCAUAUUGUAAAGGGCCUCCACCAUUUCCACAGAUCUGUUGCGCACUUCAGCAGCUACCUGAUCAUCAACAACAAUAAAAAAUUAAGAUGAUACUUAAAGUGUACGAUGAACUUAAUUGCACAAAUUAAAGUUCAUGGAAAAUUAUCAUGCUGAAUAGAACCAAGAAAGUAUAAUGAUGGAAUGGAGUCACGAUAACACAUAAGGCAUACUUUCUUCCAGUUCUUUCCAUUUUCCCGAUAUGCUUUGUAAAAUCGUUCAAGUUCUGCCUUCUUCCAUUGAGGUCCUAACGUAUCAAAUUUCAAAUUUUCAGAAUUUUUUUUUUAAAAUGAAUUUCAGAAACAACUAAAAUAAUUCAAAAAUAAACCCCCCAAAAUUGAAAAAAGAAAUUCAAAUUCAAAACAUCACCAAAACCCAAAAUUUCAAUUCGACUAAAAUAUAUAAAUUUCAUAAAUUAUUUAAAAUAAAAUAAAUAACAAUCAAAAGAAUAAGGAUAAAAUUUGAUAGAUAAAAAAUUUUUAAUAAGAAAAAAUAAUAAGAGAAAAACAUAUAACAAUCAAAAGCACGAGAAUCAACAUUGAUAUAACAAUCAAAUUAAAUCAAAUUCUAAGGGAAAAAAUUAAAAAAAAUAAUAAAAAAUUAUUUAAAAAAAUAUAGCAGUCAAAAGAUUAAGGAUCAAAUUUGAUAUAAUCACCAGAUAACAAGAUAUUUUUAAUUUUUCACAACUUCUAGAAAAUAUUUUUUUGUCCAAAAUAACAGAAAAAAGUUUAAAUUGCCAAGUUGUAAUUUUAACUUGCUCGUCAAAUGUGGCCUGUUUGGGAUCGUGGUUGCUGUUACUUUUUAAAGUGUUUUUCAUGCUGAAAUAUAUCAAAAUGAUGUUAUUUUAUUUUUUAAAAAUUAUUUUUGAGAUUAACGCAUCAGAAACAUCCAAAACAUACAAAGAAAUUAAUUUUUAACAAAAAAAAACAAUUUGAAUUUUUUGAAAACCCAUCCCCAUUUAGGUUUUGGAUCAUAAAUUUUUGAAUCGACUUGUCAUGCCGCGCUAAGUUUAACAACCAUGUUAUUAACAUAUCAAUGGCUGUGAAUCAGAGAUGACGAUCAAAUUAUAUUAUGGUCUCCAGUGUUUAAAAAUGUUACUAUCCACUUCAAAUAGAGUUUGAGUCAUGUGAUGCACAAAUUAUAUUAGUACACUUUCAAAUACGCUCUCUAGAAUACUAAUAAAACACGUGACUAAUAUAUUUUAAAUUAAAAAACACAUUUAAAAAAUACUUUACAAUACAUUAUCAAACGCACAAGUCUAGCUCUCGAAAAGAUAUUUAAAUUACUAAUUAAGUUGUCAUUUUAAUUUACGGGUUAAUUAUUUAUAUUUGAAAACUCAACUCCAAUAAAGUUUUGGAUUGUAAAUUUUUUAAUCAACCUGUAGUGUUAAGUCAAGUUUAACAACCAUGUUAUUAACAUAUCAAUGGUUUCAACUUAGCCGACAUGUCAUUUAAAGAUUCAAGAUUGAGUACUUGCGAGGCUAUAUAUAGGCUAUUAACUAAUGUUUCUUGAAUCAAGGUUUCUGUGAAUAAAUGUUCUAGUUUCCCACCAGGUGGAAGUGGUUGCAAUUCCAUGUUCUUGAUUUGUUCCUAUUUCAAAAUCAUUAAACAUAAUAAUAAUAAAAAAUAUACAACCAAUAGUUUUUUUUUCUCUUUUUUUACUCCCUGGAUCUGUUGUCAAGGUACAGGGGCUUCUUUGAAGUGGAAUAACCCGACCACAAAAAUGCAGUGAUACAAAAUGCAUAUGCUCUACCCAGGAUAGAAAAUGCCUAAGUAUUAAAAUUCAAGUUUUAUAAUUACAUUAAUAUUUGGGAGUGCAAUAACUUCUGCUUUUAAAUAUAUUUUACUUGAAAAGAUAUAAAAUUGAUGUUUUUUAUAAUGUUUUAUUUAUAAUUGUAAUGUACCGAUAUCAAACCUCAAAAAAUAUAAAAAAAUAAAUUAUAAAAAACAUCACGCAUUGCAUUACAAAACACACAUUAAUAUCAGCUGAUAUUCUAAAAUUUGAGAUAAUCCUGUAUUUUUGGUGAAUCUAAGAGUUUCAAAAAUGAUUGAUCAUAAUUUAUAAUUUAUGGGUGAUUUUUUUAUUAUUUAUUUUUUUUAUUCUAUUUAAAAAAUAAUACCUAUAAUUAUUAUCUCGUAAAACUUUCAAGAAAAAAGAAAAAAAGUAAGACAAAAUCUGUGAUGGUACCCACAUGAAAUAGCAUUUACUCCGAUAAUCCAAAGCCCUUAAAAAUCAAGAGCCCACGAUCAACUUGAAUGGGUACACUUAUCUCGCUUAGACGACCCCGAUUCUUCUUUAGUUUUAAAUAAUCUUUUCAAUUCAGUUGUUGUAUCUUGCAUUUUUACAUUUUUAUAAGCAAGCCCUAUUUCUCAUAAUUUUUAGACCCGGUCCGAUCCAAGAUCUGGAUUUCGAGUUUUGACCGGGUCACCGGAUCAAUUCUUUUUUUAAAGAAAAAAUCAAAACAACGUCAUUUUAGUAAAAAAAAAAAAAUCAACGGGUUGCAACCUGGUUUUUGACCGAGUCUUGCCGGGUCAACCGGGUUUUUUCUUCCCCUGUUUUUUCUUCAACCCAGCCCGGUUCUAGCCCCGGGUCGACCCACCGCACCGGACCGGGUUUUAAAACUAGGCUACUUCUUGAAUUUUUAAAAAUGUUGUUAUGCAAAUUAAAUAUGAUUUUAGAAUUGAUUUUUUACUUCAAAUCAUAAUUGUUUUUCAUAAGCAAUAAACUGCAUUACAACGUAGAAAUAAUUAAAAUUUAUCUUGAAUCAAGAGAAAGUGUGCAUAACCAGGAUAUCAUACAGUAAUAAUUUCAUGUACAUGCUAUAAAUCUUACUUCAGAUCACAUUUUAUCAUUCAUAUUGAUGUUUAUAAAUUAGAAAUUACAAUCAAGCCCUUGGAGUCAUGGUUAAAAAAUUUGAAUGAUAAGGAUAAUGUUAUACUUUUACUGUUCUAUCAAAUAUGAAAAUACAAAAACCCCUUUAUACAUGUAAUAAUCCAAUUUUGGAUUCUUCAAAUUUUCUUUAAAUGUUAUUUUAUUUUUAUUAUUAUUCAUAAAAAAUCCAAAAAAAAAGAAAAAAAGUUAAAAUUCAAAAAUAUAUUUUUCUCGGGUCAACUGUCAUCUUCCAUAAAAAACGAGCCCAUCGGAUCAAUACGAGUUAAACCAUGUCGACCGAAAUAAAAAUUGAGUUUCAGGCCGUUUUGGGUCAAACCCGUCAUUUCGGUCAAAACUGAGUCCAUCGGGUCAAUACGAGGCAAACCAUGUCGACCGGGGUAAAAAUUGAGUUUUAGGCCUUUUCGGGUCAAAACUGUCAUUUUUUGGUCAAAACCGAGUCUACCAAGUUUAUACGGGUCAAACCUUGUUGACCAUGAUAAAAAUUGAGUUUUAGGCUAUUUUGGAUCAAAACUGUUAUUUUCUAUCAAAACCCGGUUCACCGGGUUGAUAGUGGUCGAAUUUGUUUUUAAUGGUUUUUGAAAUUGACCUGUUUGUUUCUGCGUUUCAAAAGCACUUUUGAAAAAAUUUGAAAUUUUUUUAUUUUUUUAUUAACUUCAAAUUAAUAUAUUUUUAGUGUUUUCAAAUCAUUUUGAAGUGCUUAUGUUAAAAAUAAUUUUUAAAAAAUAAAAAAAAAUCAUUGACAUGUAUUUUAGCACAAAAAAUUAUUUUAUUUUUCGGUAAUCAAAGUUAAUUUUUAGCGGUUGAACGGGCAUUUUUUAAUACUGAUCGGCGUUUUAGUUUUACCCACAUAUAUAUUUAUUAUUAUACAAAUCAAUAAUGCAGAAAUAUUUACUGUAGUAGUUGGUGCAGUUGAGGCAUGUGAAGUUUUUUCUUCGGACAAAGCCGUGUCUCCUGGUUAUAAAUGCCCUGUUCCCCUAGGCCCUAGUCAUUGGCUAUAAAAGCCAGUAAAAGAGAACAGAAAGGAAGAAGUGAAUCCUAAUGCUGAUACUAUUAAUGUUUUUUUAGUUUUUCUUCACGCGAGUAAAGUAUUGAUUUUUUUAAAAAACAAUUUAAAAAAUACUAAAAAAUAUCAUAACCAUUAGAUUAAAUAGUAUUUAGUUCUGGAUCAUUAAUUAGAUCUGAUCAAACAGGGCAAAGUACACUAGAUUAAAACCCAAAUCCAUCUCAGCCCUUUAAACGGUCUGUCCUUUGAUCCUGUCUUGCCACGUCACCUGGUGUACCAAGCCCCAGGUGCAUCCUAUCACACUGAAGCAAAGCAAAGAUCUGACAAUCGGGGCCGUCUAUUAAUUUUUAGUUCAAGCAAACCGUAGCCGUAUGAUCAAUUCAUAACUGAUCCAACGGUCCAUGAGAUCCGAUGCACCAGGUUACCAUGCUAACUUCGCACUAUAGCAGAUCUAAGAGAUUCUCCCUCCUCUCGCCGGCGAUCCUCUCUCCACACGGAUCUCCCAACUCCGGCCACUUAAAGAGUCUGGACCACCACAGAAAGGUUCCUUACCUAAUCGCUAGAAAACCCCAGGCGUUUUUCAUCGCUUUCUCUGCCGUAUCUUUCCGGAAAAAGGCCGCGACAUCUUCGGCCACCCGAAGCUUCAAACCGUCGAUUCUCUCUCAUAAGAUUAAAUGAUAUUAUUGUAAUGAAUAGUAAAUAGUGCUACGAGAAAUUGAACAACCGCGUACAAUCCUUAAAAGACAUUUAUAUUAUUGUAAUCGCCUAAUUUCACGGGCCCUGAAGUUAACGAUUAUGUAAGUCUCUAGUGGCCCUGAGAUUUGUGAGACUGGAACAAGUGACCUCUAGGAUGAAGUGCCCGUUUGGCACUGCGGCUACGGCUAGAAUAAACGCAGGAUUGGUUAAGUUGAAUCGCAUUUUUUAUUUCACGUGAGUCCCACUCAGAAACUGAUGUCGAAUCUCAGUUUUUGAAAAGCAAUUGCUUUUAUGUCCGUGUUCUCCUCUCUCUUAUAUUUUUUACAAUAGCCUUAAUCUUAAUCUUAAUCUUAAUCUUCCAUUUGGAUUAUUUUAUUUCCACUAGACGGCUUGUCUUAAUAAUGCAUGUGAAUGGGGAUUCGGAGGUCAUCGCGAAUCACCCAAAUCCACGGAAGAAUCUUAGAAAUGAAUGACUUGUCAAAUAUUGAAACCAUACUCUUUUUGGUAACGUCUUACUUGUCAACUACAAGGGGGGAAAUAAAAAAAGAGACGAAGCUUAUCAUUUCGGAUUUCAUCAUGCAAAGGAAUAUACCCGAAACAUUGGGAUUGGUUUUUAUUUUAUUUUAUAAUCAUCGUUUGAUUUAUUGAAAAGUAGUUAUUAGCCAUUUAAUUAAUGACUAAACAACCGAAAAUAAGAGUUAAUACGGAAGGAGCAAUAUAUAGAAAAACGAAAUACAAAAAUCUCUAUUAAUUUCCUUAAUUACCUAAAUUAAUUCUGGGAUUUAAUUAGACAAAGGAAUCAAUUUAGCUCCCCGCAAAUUAUGCAUUAAAAGUCAACUUAAUUGGUGUAUUUAGAAUCAAAUUAGAGGAGACUAAGUUAAUCAAUUCAUGCAACAUAAGCUCACCAAUUCACGUAACAUAUUAGAUAAUAUUGAUGGAUUGGGACCGCAAGAGGGAUAGGGGACCAAGCCGAUGUAGAGACGGAAUCAAGGGGAAGUAAGCAGGGGCUAAAUAAUAAAUAAAUAUAAUGAUGGAUUUUGUAGGUUAGUUUUUUAUUGCUUAGUAACUAAGAUGUACUAUUUAAAUAGGUGGGCCCAACUAAUGUAAAUAUAUUUGUUAUCUUUGACUUAAAAACUAUCUACGUGGAAAGAAAAAAUAUGAAGUUAUAUGGAUUUUGCCGUUUACUCUCAGCUGCAGCUCUAAUAUAAAGGGUAAAAUAUAGAAAUAAUUAGAAUAUAAAUUGCAAACAGAAAUAUUGAAGCAGAGCGCCACCGAUUAAUUCCUCUUUCAUCAAACAAAUCAAGGUAAUUGAGCAUUGCUAACCUCAAAUUUAAAAUUUAUUUUUAUUUUGUUUUGAGAUAUUUGUUAAGAAUUUGAUGAGGUUUUUUCAUAAUUCUAUUAUUUUUGCUUCUUUUUGUUUUUUUGCUCAGAUCUGCUAGUUUUACCAAAUUUGUUUUUGAAUUCUUGUUAUAGUGAUUUUUUUUCUAAUUAAUUAGAUAUAUUUUAUUGCUUUGUCUUGAUUAUAAUUGGAUUUUUUUAUGUUUUGCUUUUAGCAGAGCCAUCAAAAUUACCAAUUUUUUUCUCAUGAUAUAUGUUUUGAUUUUAGGUUGAACCAUGAACAAAAUAAGAAGAAUUGAUUCUUUUGUUGAGAAAAAGAGAACAAAUAUUGAUAACUCACAGCCUAGUGAACCAACUCCAAUGUGUAAUGUUGAAGUUAUGGUUGAGCAACCUCAAUGUGCUUCAGUUUACGAAGAACCUACACUGAUUAGUGAGCAGUCUCUUACUAGAAUCGACAUUGCUCAUUUACUUAGAGAUCCAAGCAAUUGUCCUCAAAUUUGGGAAUACUUGGUUAAUCAACAAGAUGAAAUUCCAAGGGCAUACAUUAAUUUGGGACCAUAUCAACCUUUGAUGUCUAAAUACCCACUGACUGGUGAAAAACAUCCUCGUCGAUUUCAAUCUCAUUGGUUCAAAAGUUAUCCAUGGCUUGAAUAUUCAGAGAAAAAUACUGCAUUUUGUUUCCCUUGCUAUUUAUUUCCAAGUAAACCAUUAUUAUCGGGUUGAUAUAUUUACAUCUAUCAUUAAUCAACAAUUGCAAGAGAGCUAAAUAAUAUAUUCGAUGAACAGGCAAUCGAGCUUCUUAAGUUGAGCACAACUUUAGAUCCUAGAAAUAACUAUAAAUUAUUCAAUAUUGAAGAUAUAUGCUUACUUGUUGACAAGUUUUAUCCUGAAGAUUUUUCUGACCAAGAAAAAAUUCAUUUGAGACUUCAGUUGCAGCAUUAUGAGCUUGAUAUCCCCAAUCAUCCAAAAUUAAAGAAUAUGUCAUCGAUUACUGAUUUAUGUCAAGGAUUGGUUGAAACAUAAAAAUCAACAAUUUAUUCACUCAUUGACAGGUUGAUUCGGCUUAUUUUAACUCUUCCUGUUUCGACAGCAACUACUGAAUGAGCUUUUUCAGCAAUGAAGAUUGUUAAAACAAGACUUCGCAAUCGGAUGGAAGAAGAUUUUCUUGCAAAUUAUUUGAUUGUCUAUAUAGAAAAAGAAAUUGCUGAAAGAUUCACAAUUGAUAUGAUAAUCGAUGAUUUCUAUUGUAUGAAAGAACGACGAGCACAAUUAAAAUAAAUAUGUAAGAAUCAUUUUUUAUUAUUUUUUACUUUAUUUUAAAGUUUAUCAAACAUAAAUAAUGUUUCGCUUUAUCUAAUGUUUCUUAUAUACUUUCUAUGUUUAUAUUUGAUAGGUAUAAAGACAAACAAAAUUAAAGUGAUAGAUACAUUAUGAAGAUAAAAUUAACUUCAUCGCUUUGACUCAAUUUGAUAUUGCUUAAAAUCUUUUACCUUGUGCAAAGGUCAUUAUAUGUUUGUAUUUUUUUUUAUAACUCAUGUACAAUAAAGUGAUAGUACGAAUGUGCCUGUAUCCACAAGCAAAGAGAGAUUUCUUAUUAUAAUCAAAACCAAUAAAAGUUUUGAAAAAAAUCUCAAACCCUAAUUCAAAAUAUAUUUAGGCCAAUCCGAUCCUCACAGCACACUAUGAAUUUCUCAUGCUUGCUAUCUUUUUCGCACACAAGAAUGUGCAUGGUUAUGCUUAGAAAAAAAACCUAGGCCUAAAUACGUAAUUGUAGAUAAUAUGUUUUAGUUAUUCUGAUGGCUUGAGGAUUAGUAAAAUACUAGUUUUAUUAAAUUUUUUUUUUCUAGAUUUAUAAAGUUUUCAUUGUUUAAUUUGUGACAUCUUCAUAUAAUAAAAAUAUGAACUCGUACACAUUUCAAUAGAAAUCCAUAAGAAAUUUAAUUAUUAGAAGAAGACAUAAGUACUUAACUAAUUAAAUCCCGACCACCUCAAAUACACACACACACAUUUGUUCCCUUUUAACCACCUUAGGAUUUACGAACUUCUUAAUUACUUUUGUCAUCCUUUAAGAACAUAUUUACAUGUACCUUUUUAACUAGUCUGAUUUUGAUUUGGAGAACAUAUUUACAUGUAACUUUUUAAUUAGUCUGAUUUUGAUUUGGAUGUAUUACAAGGCACGCAAUAUAAUAAGAAAUAUUAUGCUUUUUCAUCCCAAAAAUUUAAAAUUUAAGAUUAAAAUAUCUAUACAACAUAAUAUUAUAAUUUUAAUAAUUAAAUGAUCACGAGUUUAAUUUUUACCGCUCUAUUUUUUUUAAACUUUAAAUCAAAUCAACAUAACUAAUAAUAAAUUUAUGCAAGUUUUAAAUUAAAAUAUUUCACAUAAAAAAUUGCAUUAAAAAAUAAUAUAAAAUCAUCAUCAAAAUAUGAGCUUACUAGCUACCAUGAGACAUGGAGCAUUUAUGAUUUUCCAACUACUUCUAGAAGAGUUGUCCGUUCCCAUUGUACCUCUAAAGUGUGGGAAAAAUGAAAAAGAGACGAAGCUUGUCGUUUCUAACUUGAAAAUUUGGAAUUUAGUCGAAGGAAUCAAAUUAGCGGCGCCCUGCAAAUUAUGCGUUGAGCAUUUAUGGGCUGGAUUCAACCUAACCUAUAAAACAAAUCAAACUAAAUUGAUGUAUUUGGGUUUCAUAAAAAAAAAAAUGAUGCAUGUGGAAUGAAAUUAGUAGUGGGGACUAAGUCAAUCAAUUCGUGCAACAUAAGUUAAUAAAUUCACGUAACAUAUAGAAGACAUGCUUAUGGUUUUGGGACUGCAGGAAGGGCCGACAGGGGACCAAGCCGAUGGAUGUGAAUUAUUAUUAUUUUAUUUUUGAUUAAUGUGGGUGUUCGGAUCAACUUUCAUGCACCUCGACUAAUUCUAUAGGCCCUGAAGUUAAUGACCAUAUAAACUUCCAGUGACCCUGAGGUUUGUGAGACCCGAACUAGUGAUCUCUAGGAAAAAAACUUAGAACCUGACUAGUUGAGUUUCACCUCUCAGAGUUGAUGGAUCUGAAUUAUUAUACACCAAAGCUGAUGCAGUAAGAUUUUGGAAGAUUAAAGUAUCAACCAAAACCAGAUUCACCAUGCGUCUAAUCUGUAAUUGUUAGGUAUCAAAGAUAAUUUUUUUUAUUAUAGUCAAAACUAAUACAAGUUUUGAAUAAUUCUCAACCCCAAUCCUUACCAUAAUAUAAUAUUUUCUUGCUAGGUAUCUUUAUAGCACACAAGAACAUGUAAUAUCAUCUCUAAAUUAAAAAAAAUUAGGUUUAAGUACAGACAUAUUUACAAAUAAAGAACAUGUUUUAAUGGGAAAAUGAUUAGUAUAACACUAAAACCUAUAAGAAUUCUUUUUUCUAGACAAAAACAAUCUUACAUUUAUAAAGCAUAGUUUUGAAACCCGGCCCGGCCCGACGGGUCGACCCGGGGCUGGAACCGGGCCGGAUUGAAGAAAAAAUGGGAGAAGAAAAAACCCGGUGUGACCUGACGACCCGGCUGACCCGACAAGACCUGGUUGCAAACCCGUUGACUUUUGUUUUUUUUUUAAACUAAAAUGAUGUCGUUUUGAUUUUUUUUUUAAAAAAAUGACCCGGCCGACUUGGUGACCUGGUCAAAACCCGGAACCCGGGCCUUGAACCAGGCGGCCACCAGGACCUAUGUUAUAAAGUCUUCAUUAUUUAAUGCGAAAACGAAGGAAAUGCUUUACCUAAUAUUCUUACUCCACCCACCAACUUUCAGAACGAUAUUUUAAAUGGAAGACAAUUCUCUUAAAUAUGAAAAUAGACUCUUGAAUUAUGCCAUUAUCCAUAAAAAACUAACUAUUACGUACAAGAAUACAUAUACGUUGAUGGAUAGAUAAUUAUAUCCCAACCUUGACAUGUCCUCAAUAUUUCAACUUGUUAAUUAGUUUUGACGUCAUCCUAUCAAAUUAUGAACGUAUUGACAUGUCCCUUGUUAAUUAGUCUAUUUGGGUUGUAACAUAGUAAUAUAAAAUAAGAAAUAUUAUUAGAUUAUUGUCCCACAAUAUAGUUCUUGAAUUGAGAUAACUUCUUAGUAUAAUAUAAAUCAUUGAAUAAUUUCAACGGACACCACGAUGGUAGGAAUGUAGUAGGUGAAACACAUAUAAGAAAGAUCAAGAUAAAAAAAAACCAAUUAGGUACUAUUUUGUUAUUAUUUCAAGGUAAAAAGACAGAGAGAUAUUCGAAAUAAAAAUAUGUUUGAUUAAAAUAAUAAUAUAAAAUAAAUAUUUUUUUAUGAUAAUUAAUUUUACAGUAAAUUUUUAUAUUUUAAAAAUAAAAAUUACAAAAAAUAUAUCAUUUUUGUCUCUUUUAUUUCGAUAUAGUAAUCAUGUGUGUGUGUAUAUAUAUAUAUAUUGGUUUAGAUUCCUAUCUAAAGAAGAGGAAUACAAAUUUUACUUCAUCAAUGUCUAAGAACUAUCUCAACCCAAUAACUUAAGCUGUUAAGUGAGGUUUCAAGAUAUGAUUUAUAUUAUUCUCUAACACACCCCUUCAAGUGAAAACUUUUUGGACUUGAAACUUGUACAGACUCAAAUUACCUUGUGCUUGAUUUUUAUCAAAUAAAUAGGGAUGGUGAGAUUCGAAAUCGUGAUCGUUUAGUCAUAAAGACUCUGAUAUCAUGUCAAAUAACCAUCUCAACCCAAUAGAAAGCUUUUAAGUGAGGUCCCAAAUAUAAUUUAUAUUUUUCUCUAACAAUCAAUAUAUAAUUUAACCUGACAUGCAUGGAAUUCUAUAUAAAAUGUAGCCUAUACCUAGAGUACAAGAAACCAUCACUAGUCAUACACACAAAGAAAGAUAUGGACUAUGAAAUUGCAGGUCUGGUUCUAGCAGUCUUGCUAUGGGUUGCAUGGGCAGUGGUGACUGAACGUCGUUACCGUCGUUCAGAAGAGCAAGGGCAGCUACCACCGGGGCCCAGACCACUGCCAGUGGUUGGCAAUAUCUUCCUGCUGGGUUGGGCACCACACGAGUCUUUUGCUAAUUUGGCUCGUGUUCAUGGUCCAAUCAUGACCAUUUGGCUCGGGUCCAUGUGUAACGUGGUCAUUUCCUCGAGCGAAGUGGCUCGUGAGAUGUUCAAGAAUCAUGAUGCGGUGUUAGCUGGGAGAAAAAUCUAUGAGGCUAUAAGAGGUGAUUUUGGAAAUGAAGGGUCUAUAAUCACAGCCCAAUAUGGACCGCAUUGGCGCAUGUUAAGGCGCUUAUGCACCACCGAAUUCUUUGUGACUAGCCGCCUUGAUGCCAUGCAGGGUGCACGAACUAGGUGCAUCGAUGGCAUGCUGCAAUACAUAGAAGAUGAUAGUGCCAAUGGCACUAGCGCUAUUGACCUUGGGAGAUACAUUUUCUUGAUGGCUUUUAAUCUUAUUGGCAACCUCAUGUUUUCUAAAGAUUUAUUGGACCCAAAAUCGGAGAAGGGAGCUAAGUUUUUUCAGCAUGCAGGUAAGGUCGUGGAGUUGGCAGGUAAGCCUAACAUGGCUGAUUGUUUUCCAAUUUUAAGAUGGCUUGAUCCACAAGGUAUAAGGAGGAAGACACAGUUCCAUGUUGCAAGAGCCUUUGAGAUUGCAGGAGGGUUCAUCAAAGAAAGAACAGAGAGUACGCAAAAGGAAAAUAGUAGAGAUGACAAGAGGAAAGAUUAUCUAGAUGUCCUUUUGGAGUUUCGUGGUGAUGGCGUGGAGGAGCCCUCUAGAUUUUCUUCAACAACGAUCAAUGCGAUUGUCUUAGUAAGUAGCAUCUCUUUUCCUAUGGUUCUCUUUUCUGUCCUAUCUUUGCAUACAUUUUUGUGUUUUUGUUCGGAGGCGGCAAAGCCUGUCUUAAUAUAAUUGUCUACCUAGUAAUUAACAUCUCGUUUGACAGCUUUGUUAAGCUCAGACCUCUGUUAGUAAAGUACUCCGCCCCGCUGAUAGGUUUACCUUCAGCUCUAGCUUGUGUUGGCUUUUUUUUUUUUAAAAAAAAUCAAUCCAGAUUGAAUUAGUUGAUUGGACAUAUUAAUCUGUUACUCGGUUAGAAUUUCAUUGAUUUUUUUCAAAAUUAUUGUUUUGAUCUUUAAAUUUUUUUUAUUAGACUUACUUAAAAAUCAAUCUCAUGAUCCGAGACUUACUCUGAAUGCAACUCCGAGUUAGGUCUAAUUAUAACUAUGACUUGGACUAUGGAAACUAUAGUUCUACAUACACGGUGGAACCAAAAAAUUUAUCAAACCCGGCCUGAAUCAGUAAUUAACCUAGAACCCAAUUGAUUUCACCUGUAGUUUAAGUUGGAUUUUAAAAUAAAAUUAACUUUGAGAUGAUACUGUUUGGCUUGAUUGACCCUACUAGUUAAUUUGAUCAAAAUUUUAUUUGAUUUUUUUAAUCUUUUCUUUAAAAUGAUAUUGUUUUGAUUGAUUUCAUUUAAUUCACCCAACUCGUGACUUAAAGUUUAAACUAGGUAUAAUAUCUUUGUUUUUAAGUAAUGUUCAAAAACAUAAAUUAAUUAUCAUAUUUAUCUCGGCCUGGGUUUUUUCCAAACCAUAGUAAAGAAAUUAUUAGGAGAUAGUAUACAAAAUUAAAUCACUAACAAUCUUAAUUAUUGUCAUGAUUUUUUCUUAUAGGAAAUGUUUACGGCAGGGACUGAUACAACAACAAGCACUUUGGAAUGGGCCAUGGCUGAACUUCUACAUAACCCUAAAGUAAUGAAAACAGUCCAAUCCGAGUUGAGAAGCACCAUUGGCCCCAACAAGAAGCUCGAAGAUAAAGACAUUGAGAAUCUCCCAUACCUAAAGGCAGUCAUCAGGGAAACACUGAGACUGCACCCUCCUCUCCCUUUUUUAGUCUCGCACAUGGCCAUGAACCCUUGCAAGAUGCUAGGCUAUUACGUCCCUAAAGAGACAACAAUUCUAGUUAAUGUGUGGGCCAUUGGAAGGGAUUCAAAGACUUGGGAUGACCCUUUGGUUUUCAAGCCAGAAAGGUUCUUGGAACCAAACAUGGUAGAUUACAAAGGUCGUCAUUUUGAGUUCAUACCAUUUGGUUCUGGCCGUAGAAUGUGCCCUGCCAUGCCGCUCGCUUCUCGUGUACUUUAUUUGGCUCUUGGGUCGCUCUUGCUUUCAUUUGAUUGGAUUUUGCCGGAUGGUCUCAAGCCAGAGGAUAUGGACAUGACUGAAAAAAUAGGGAUAACACUUAGAAAAAGUGUUCCCUUAAAGGUCAUACCGACACCUUACAAGGGGUCAUCAAAUCAUGAUGGGUUCUGAGUUGAUAUGGGAUAUUCCAAAAUUUCUACGUACUAGUAUAACAAAACGUAGUUAUAAAAAGGGUAUAACAGAUCAAUCUUGGUAUCCUAUUGAUUUGAAACUUAUUUCAAGUUAUAUUUUAUUUUGAAAUGGAUUAAAAAAGAAAAUAAUUCAACAUUGUUUUGGUAAAAAAAAAUAGACUCGCAGUUGAAUUUUAGGCCGAGCCAGACCCAGGCUCGGACUUAUAUCUAAGUUACAAAAUGUUGUAUUAGUAUUGUAUUCAAUUUAGCUGUUUGAGUCAUAUAUUUGAUUCUUAAUUUGUAUGUGUAUGUAUAUUAAUGUAUAUCUAUAUAUAAUCUAGUUGUGGAGAAUUUUUUUUAAUUAAUUAGCAUGUUUGGUGAUGCAGUUUGUCAUAACCCAAUUCUGGGUUAUUCCCCAAAAAUCAAUAUCUUUUUCAAAAUAAAAAUAAUAAAAUAAUAAUAAAGGUUGACGAUGUGGAGAAAGCAAAUCGAGGAAUCAAGCUACAAUUUUAGAGGAAAUUCAAGACUUAAUGGUACCCCAUUAUGCCCCAAAAUAGAAAGAAAAUGCAAAUUCAAUGUCAAAUCAAAUGAUUAUUGGAUGAAUAUGCUUAAAAAUUAAGUCUAAGACAUAAUUAAAUUUUUAACAGGUCAAUUUGAUUUAAUCAUGGGCCAAAUUGAAUUUUAAUUAUGUUUAAGAAUUAAUUUGGGUCCAAUUGAAGGAUUUAAUUAAGUACAAGGACUAAAUUAUACUUUAAAUGGGUCAAAUUAAUUUUAUUUGGGGCUUAAUUGGUGAAAAAUUAAGUUUGGGAGCCUAAUUUGGGCUUAAUUGAGAAGAUUGGAAUUUUAAGAGAUCAAAUUUAAUUUUUACCAAGUUAAUUGACUGAAACUAGGGGCCAAAUUGUAAGAAAAAUGAAGUUUUGGGGUCAAUUAGGGGCUAAAUUGAAGAAAUUCGCAGCCAAGGACCAAUCUACAAAGGGUGCCAAAAUUAAGGGUCUUAAUUGACAAAAACCGGGAGUGAAAUUGAAGAAAUUGAAAGUUUAAUGGUCAAUUAGGGGUUAAAUUGCAUAAAUCCGAGACCAAGGACUAAAUUGUAAAAGGCGCGUAAAUCUGGGGCUGAAGUUGAAAUUCCGUAGGGGCCUAAUUGCAUUAAAUCAAAAGUUUAUGGUCAAUUAGGGGUUCAUUUGAAAUCAAUUGAAAGCUGGAGGACUAAAUUGAAAAUCAGUUAAAAUCCCUAAUUCAAUUCAAAACGACGUCGUUUUACAUUAAAAAGAAAAAGAAGGACCAGACGACGCGUCGUCUGGUUACUGUUCAUUAUCUUUUCUGUUUUACCCGAAAGAAACAGCGCGGGAGCCUUAUUUGCAGGUGCAUUUAAUGCUUGAUUUCUCCAUCAAAUCGAACAAAACUUGCACGAAACGGAUCCCCUGCAGUUCCUCUACAACCCCAUGUGAACGUUUCAGGAUGAAAGACAGCACAUCGACAUCGGCGACGACGUGAAGAGGUCAACUCAGGGACGCUACUUUGAACCAACGGUUGGGAUCCUUCCCAGCCAAAUCUAGGGCUGAAAUUUUGCCCCGGUGUAGACGAGAUUAUCCUCUUCCACCACCUAUAAAUAGAGGCUCCGUUGAUGACCUGAGAGAGGAGAAAAUUGGGUCCAAAAAUCAGAAAAAACUAGCCUCUCUGCCCCGUUUCUGUAGUAUUUUUCUCUACCUCUCUCUCCCCGCUGUUCCAGCCACCAACCAGAGCCACCACAAGCUUCUCCACCACCAGCUCCACCACAGGAAGCCAACACAACCACCAAGUAGCCACCGCGACUCUCUCUCUCUUCUCCUUCCGGCCUUUCUCUCUCCUCUACAAACUUCUUCUUCCUGCACAGUAGCAACUCCGGAGACCAAGAUCUCCAUCAACGCCGCUACCAGCCUCUUGUCAGCCACCCAGACUAGCAGCGCCUCCCACUUGUGUCAGGUGGUGUCCCCCUACUUCUGCCCCGUUCCUGCCCACGUAUCUUCUGCAUGCAAUGGCAGAAUCAUUAACCUUGAAUAUGGGUCGGACCUUAUUUGGCCCAGCCCAAAUUUAUGGGCCGGAUUCGGCCCACCCCCAAACUUGUUGGGCUGAGAUCGGCCCACCCUUUUGUAGGUCGGGCUCGGCCCAGUUAGCUGGGCCGACCUAGCCCACAUAUUUAAUAUUAUAUAAUAUAUAUUAUAUUAUAAUAUUAUUUAAAAAAAUCCAAAAAAUUUUCAAAAAUCAUUUUAAAAAAUUUUGCGAUUUUGUCAAAUAUUUUUCUAUCCAUUUUGCAUAAUAUCGGGUUGUAUAUUUACACUGUAGUGCGCCGCCGCCUCUUCUUUACUUCCCUAAAACAGAUAGAGCAAGACGCAGAGACAGAGAAGACAAAGAAAGGUAACCGAGAGAGAAGGCAAGAAAGAGAUGGAGAUAGGAAAAGACAUUAUGGUAAGAAAUAUAUUUUUAGUAUUUGUGAUAAUUUUUCAGUAUUAAGUUUGAGUUUUAUUUACUAAUAUGUGUGGAUUUGUUUUUAUAAAGCUUUGUUAAAGGAUGUUAAGAUUUGGGUGAAUAUAUAUGCAUUGAUUUUGAUUUAUAGUUCUUGAGAAAUUAACUAGGACUCGUUAUUCAGUAGAAUUGAUUGCUUAAAGAUGAACUUGAGAAUUGAAAAUUUGUGAACCAUUGAUGAUCUUAAGUUCAAAGGAUAUAUAUAAAUUGAAGAAACUCAAAUCCUGGUUAUGGCCACCGAGUUUAGAGGCUGUGAAUCAGAGAUGACGAUCAAAUUAUAUUAUGGUAUGACGAUCAAAUUAUAUUAUGGUCUCCAGUGUUUAAAAAUGUUACUAUCCACUUCAAAUAGAGUUUGAGUCAUGUGAUGCACAAAUUAUAUUAGUACACUUUCAAAUACGCUCUCUAGAAUACUAAUAAAACACGUGACUAAUAUAUUUUAAAUUAAAAAACACAUUUAAAAAAUACUUUACAAUACAUUAUCAAACGCACAAGUCUAGCUCUCGAAAAGAUAUUUAAAUUACUAAUUAAGUUGUCAUUUUAAUUUACGGGUUAAUUAUUUAUAUUUGAAAACUCAACUCCAAUAAAGUUUUGGAUUGUAAAUUUUUUAAUCAACCUGUAGUGUUAAGUCAAGUUUAACAACCAUGUUAUUAACAUAUCAAUGGUUUCAACUUAGCCGACAUGUCAUUUAAAGAUUCAAGAUUGAGUACUUGCGAGGCUAUAUAUAGGCUAUUAACUAAUGUUUCUUGAAUCAAGGUUUCUGUGAAUAAAUGUUCUAGUUUCCCACCAGGUGGAAGUGGUUGCAAUUCCAUGUUCUUGAUUUGUUCCUAUUUCAAAAUCAUUAAACAUAAUAAUAAUAAAAAAUAUACAACCAAUAGUUUUUUUUUUCUCUUUUUUUACUCCCUGGAUCUGUUGUCAAGGUACAGGGGCUUCUUUGAAGUGGAAUAACCCGACCACAAAAAUGCAGUGAUACAAAAUGCAUAUGCUCUACCCAGGAUAGAAAAUGCCUAAGUAUUAAAAUUCAAGUUUUAUAAUUACAUUAAUAUUUGGGAGUGCACUUCUGCUUUUAAAUAUAUUUCACUUGAAAAGAUAUAAAAUUGAUGUUUUUUAUAAUGUUUUAUUUAUAAUUGUAAUGUACCGAUAUCAAACCUCAAAAAAUAUAUAAAAAAAAAUUAUAAAAAACAUCACGCAUUGCAUUACAAAACACACACUAAUAUCAGCUGAUAUUCUAAAAUUUGAGAUAAUCCUGUAUUUUUGGUGAAUCUAAGAGUUUCAAAAAUGAUUGAUCAUAAUUUAUAAUUUAUGGGUGAUUUUUUUAUUAUUUAUUUUUUUUAUUCUAUUUAAAAAAUAAUACCUAUAAUUAUUAUCUCGUAAAACUUUCAAGAAAAAAGAAAAAAAGUAAGACAAAAUCUGUGAUGGUACCCACAUGAAAUAGCAUUUACUCCGAUAAUCCAAAGCCCUUAAAAAUCAAGAGCCCACGAUCAACUUGAAUGGGUACACUUAUCACGCUUAGACGACCCCGAUUCUUCUUUAGUUUUAAAAUAAUCUUUUCAAUUCAGUUGCUGUAUCUUGCAUUUUUAUAAGCAAGCCCUACUUCUCAUCAAGACCCGGUUCCGGAUUUUGAUCGGGUUAUCAGGUCGUCCGGCUCAAAUUUUUUUUUUUAAAAUCAAAACGACGUCGUUUUAAUAAAAAAAAAAGUCAACGGGUUGCAACCUGAUUUUUGACCGGGUCUUGCCGGGUCAACCGGGUUUUUUCUUCUCUUUUUUUUUCUUCAACCCAGCUCGGUUCUAGCCCCGGGUCGACCCACCACACCGGGUCAGGUUUUAAAACUAUGCUGCUUCUUGAAUUUUUAAAAAUGUUGUUAUGCAAAUUAAAUAUGAUUUUAGAAUUGAUUUUUUACUUCAAAUCAUAAUUUUUUUUCAUAAGCAAUGAACUGCAUUACAACGUAGAAAUAAUUAAAUUUAUCUUGAAUCAAGAGAAAUUGUGCAUAACCAGGAUAUCUUAUAGAAAUAAUUUCAUGUACAUGCUAUAAAUCUUACUUCAGAUCACAUUUUAUCAUUCAUAUUGAUGUUUAUAAAUUAGAAAUCAAAUUAAUACACUUCUUUAUAGUUAUAGAAUUCUUAAGAACUCUUGCGUUCACCUAACUUGCGAAAUAAUGACUAGCAAUAAGAUCAAACUUAACUUUGCACCCAUUCCCAAAAGACGUUUCUUUGACCUAAUUUAUUACAUGGCUAAGAUAUAUCAAGCAUUCCAAUAUUUACUCGCAUAAAUAAUAUCAAAUCUCAAAUAUAUCAUGAUCUACACUAUUAUUUUGUCUUUUUUUUAUGUUAAUUAUUGAGAAAAAUUAUGUUCUUAAACUUUAUAAAGUUUAUGGAUCUAUUCACAGGUUUGACUGGUUGACCUGAUUUGCAAGUUUGAGAAGUUUAACUUUUUUUUUUCAUCCUUAGAUAUUGGAUUAAUUGAACAUUAAGUUUUAUAAUUGGUCUUGUUUCAUCUUUUAAUUGAGGUUAUCACGGUAUUAAAAAAAACAUCUCGGUACUAGGUUGAUAUUUGAUUUCACAAUUGUUUGUUUUUGUUAUUAUAUAGUUAAAUAAAAAAAUAGUUUUGAAAAAAACAAAUUAUAAUCCUAGUGGAGCCCAUAACUCGGUUUACAGGUUUGACAUGCUAACCCGGGUUAUCUGAUUCACAGGUUUAACGAGUUUGCCCAACAAUAGAAUAUGUUUUUUUGGUCUUUUAAUUAUUUUUUUCUUUUCGAUUUAUCCUUCAAUAUUGUGUUGAUUGAGAAAUAGACUGCAUGAAUGAUUUUUGUUUGCUUUCUAUAGGGAUAAUUGUCUCAAAUAAGUGUUUAUUUUUAGGUUAACGUUCAAUUUUGUGAGUAUCUAUUUUUAUCAUAUAAUUAAAUAAAAAUAGUUUAUAAAAAAAGUUAUUAAACCCAAUAGAAUUUACGACUAGGGUCGCGGGGAGACCGAGGUAGAUUUAAUUUGUCAUUGUCUCAAUAUUUUUUAAAAAAAAUUGUCAUCUUGAAGUUUUUUUAAAAGCUAAAUAAUGUUUUCACUGAUUAUCGAUGUUGCAUUUGGACUCAUGAAAUUGAUUGAUUUAAGUCAAGUUAGCUCCCACGCGGUUUAAUUAGAAACUCGAGUUAGGUAAAGAGUCAAGUUAAAAGAUUUCAAAAUUAAUCUACUUGGUUAUGUUUAAUAAUAUUAUAAAAAAAUCUUCAUACUCUUAAUAUUUUUUAUAUUUUAAAAAAAUUAAUCCGACCCAUGGUGAGCCCGAACCAAUAAACUAGUGUAAACUGAAAGGAAGAAAAGAAAAUCACAUGAAUCAUGCAUAUAAUAUUUAAGAACAAUCACAUUAUUCUUGCUGAAUUAGUCACAAAUUUUGUAACAAUUACGUACACAUCAAAUAUAAUUGCACUUGAUCACUUCAAGCCAUACAUUUGAGUAUAUCUAGAGUCAUGCUGAUAAUGUUUAUUGCCCAAAUUUAAGUUCAUUGGGGAUAUCGAUCACAAUUAAGUAGCCUUUCGUUGAAACUUCGAAUAUACUACGUACCUAACAUAAAUCUGCCCAACUCCCUGCUAAUCAUGAACCAAUUAUCAGUAAUUAAAUCCAUCUAGGCCUAGAACUUUAAAAACCAUUUGAUCAAUCAUCAAAGAAUAUAUAAACGAUUGUAGUCAUGUCAAAAGGGAUUCUUCCUCGAAUAAGCACAAUUUUAUAUAGUUAAUUAUAAAUGAGAUUAUUGCUUACAGCAAGAUUGCAUUAUCUAUGUAUAUUAAUUUAAUUAAAGAAAAGAUCAUGUCCCCAUAAAAAAAAAAUUAAAAAUCAGGUUAUAAAGACAAAAAAAUUAAAAAUAAAAUUAGUUUCAUGAACUCGAGUACAAGUAGGCAAUGCAUAUACAUGCAAGGCACGCAUCAACAACUUUUUUGUUUUUUUUUUAUUUGUAAAAAAUUGAAAAAUACUCUUAGAGCUAAACAAUAAUAAUAUACAAACUACGAUGAAAUUACAACCAAGUCCCUGGAGUCAUGGUUAAAAAAUUUAAAUGAUAAGGAUAAUGAAGUAAUUUUAUUGUUCUUUUAAAUAUGAAAAAUAAAAAAAUGCUAUUAUGUUGAGGACAUUAAAUUAUUUUAUUUAAGAGCUACAUUAGUAAUUUUAUUAUGUAUUAAAAAACAUAACCCCUCACAAUCCUCAAAAGAUAUUUAUAUCACGUAAAAAAACUAACAUGCCCCAAAGCCAAGUUAAAAGAUUAAAUGACCAAAGAAAAAUAAAGUAAUUAUAGUAAAUUAUGUAUCGGAACACAAUAAUACAUGCAAUAAUACAUCAUUUGUCUUGGUCAAGUUCUACUUGAGGAUUUGGUCAAGUUUUUUUUAAUCUUAUUCUUCCAUUCUGCUUAUUCCAUUUCCACUAGAGGGCUUGUCUUAAUAAAGAACUCUCUUCCUUAACUAUACGUGGUACUAUUUCAAUGAAAUCUCUUGUCAGUUACAAGGGGGGAAAUAAAAAAGAGUCAUCAUGCAAAUGAAUACCCUAUUGGGAUUAAUUUUUAUUUUAUUUUAUAAUCAUCGUUUGAUUUAUUGAAAAGUAGUUAUUAGCCAUUUAAUUAAUGACUAAACAACAGAAAAUAAGAGUUAAUACGGAAGGAACAAUAUAAAGAAAAACGAAAUACAAAAAUCUCUAUUAAUUUCCUUAAUUACCUAAAUUAAUUCUGGGAUUUAAUUAGACAAAGGAAUCAAUUUAGCUCCCUACAAGUUAUGCAUUAAACAGUAAUUGAUGUAUUUAGAAUCAAAUUAGAGGGGACUAAGUUAACCAAUUCACGUGACAUAUAAGAUAAUGUUGAUGGAUUUGGGACCGCAUGCAUCACCAUGAUCUAUAAUUGCUAUUAUAUACAUAGAAUAUCACAGUAAAUAGAAAAGAAACAAUCAGACAAUACAAUAAUUUUAUAUAGUACGAAUGUGCCUGUAUCCACAAGCAAAGAGAGAUUUCAUAUUAUAAUUCAAAAUAUAUUUAGGCCAAUCCGAUCCUCAGAGCACACUAUGAAUUUCUCAUGCUUGCUAUCUUUUUCGCACACAAGAAUGUGCAUGAUUAUACUUAGAAAAACCUAGGCCUAAAUUACUUUUGUCAUCCUUUAAGAACAUAUUUACAUGUACCUUUUUAAUUAGUCCUAUUUUGAUUUGGAUGUAUUGCAAGGCACGCAAUAUAAUAAGAAAUAUUAUUGCUUUUUCAUCCAAAAAAUUUAAAUUUUUAAAUUAAAACAUCCAUAUGACAUAAUAUUAUAAUUUUAAUAUUAAUUAAAUACUCACGAGUUUUUAUCACUCUAAUUUUUGUUAUACUUAAAAUCAAAUCAACAUAGCUAAUAAUAAAUUUAUACAAGUUUUAAAUUAAAAGAAUUCACAUAAAAAAUUGCAUUAAAAAAUAAUAGAAAAUCAUCAUCAAAUCAAGCUCUUAACUUCACUUGAGAGAUUGUAUUUACGCAUUACUAGUCGCUUUCUUGAGUGUUAAUUGGAGGCUCCUUCUUUUUGCAGCCUCUAGUCUCAUGUAGUCUCUCCUUCUCUUCCUAAUUGUACGUGGUCAUGGCGUUUCAAUGAAAUUAAUCUCUUGUCAGUUAAAGUGUGGGAAAAAUGAAAAAGAGACGAAGCUUGUCGUUUCCAACUUGAAAAUGCAAAGAAUACCUCUAAAUUUUGGAAUUUAGUCAAAGGAAUCAAAUUAGCGCCCUGCAAAUUAUGCGUUGAGCAUUUAUGGGCUGGAUUCAACUCAACCUAUAAAACAAAUCAAACUAAAUUGAUGCAUUUGGAUUUCAUAAAAAAAGAUGAUGCAUUUGGAAUCAAAUUAGUAGUGGGGACUAAGUCAAUCAAUUCAUGCAACAUAAGUUAAUAAAUUCACCUAACAUUUAGAAGAUAUGUUGAUAGAUUUGGGACCGCAGGAUGGGCCGGUAGGGGACCAAGCCGACGGAUCUGAAUUAUUGUACACCAAAGCUGAUGCGCGCAGUAAGACUUUGGAAGAUUUCACUAUCAAUCAAAACCAGAUUCACCAUGCGUCUAAUCUGUAAUUGUUAAGUAUCGAAGAGAACAUUUUUAUUAUAUAUAGUCGAAACUAAUACAAGUUUUGAAUAAUUCUGAUCAAACCCAAUCCUGCAAUUAUUACAUGCAAUUAUUCAAUAAUAUAUAUGGUUUAGAUUCCUAUCAAAAGAAGACGAAUAAAAAUUUUACAUGAUCAAUAUACACUAUUUAACCUGACAUGCAUGAAAUUCUAUAUAAAAUGGAGCCUACCUAGGGUACAAGCGAAACCAGCACUAGUUAUACACACAAAGAAAGAUAUGGACUAUGAAAUUGCAGGUCUGGUUCUAGCAGUCUUGCUAUGGGUUGCAUGGGCAGUGGUGACUGAACGUCGUUACCGUCGUUCAGAGGAGCAAGGGCAGCUACCACCAGGGCCUAGACCACUGCCAGUGGUUGGCAACAUCUUCCAGUUGGGUUGGGCACCACACGAGUCAUUUACUAAUUUGGCUCGUGUUCAUGGUCCAAUCAUGACCAUUUGGCUCGGGUCCAUGUGUAACGUGGUCAUUUCCUCGAGCGAAGUGGCUCGUGAGAUGUUCAAGAAUCAUGAUGCGGUGUUAGCUGGGAGAAAAAUCUACGAGGCUAUGAAAGGUGAUUUUGGCAAUGAAGGGUCUAUAAUCACAGCCCAAUAUGGACCGCAUUGGCGCAUGUUAAGGCGCUUAUGCACCACCGAAUUCUUUGUGAGUAGCCGCCUUGAUGCCAUGCAGGGUGCACGAACUAGGUGCAUCGAUGGCAUGCUGCAAUACAUAGAAGAUGGUAGUGCCAAUGGCACUCGCGCUAUUGACCUAGGGAGAUACAUUUUCUUGAUGGCUUUUAAUCUUAUUGGCAACCUCAUGUUUUCUAAAGAUUUAUUGGACCCAAAAUCGGAGAAGGGAGCUAAGUUUUUUCAGCAUGCAGGUAAGGUCACGGAGUUGGCAGGUAAGCCUAACAUGGCUGAUUUUUUGCCAAUUUUAAGAUGGCUUGAUCCACAAGGUAUAAGGAGGAAGACACAGUUCCAUGUUGCAAGAGCCUUUGAGAUUGCAGGAGGGUUCAUCAAAGAAAGAACAGAGAGUGUGCAAAAGGAAAAUAGUAGAGAUGACAAGAGGAAAGAUUACCUAGAUGUCAUUUUGGAGUUUCGCGGCGAUGGCGUGGAGGAGCCCUCUAGAUUUUCUUCAACAACGAUCAAUGUGAUUGUCUUUGUAAGUAGCAUCUCUUUUCCUUUGGUUCUUCUGAUCUCUUCUGUCCUAUCUCUUACACAUUCCACUAAGUAGACAAGUAUAAGAAUUAUAAUACAAAUAUACAAAAUUAAUAGACCUCAGCCACCAGCAAAAUCUUUGCAUACAAUUUUGUGUUUUUGUUCGGAGGCGGCAAAGCCUGUGUUAAUAUAUAUAAUUGUCUUCCUAGUAAGUAACAUCUCGUUUGCCAGCUUUGUUAUGCUCAGACCUCUGUUAGUAAACUCCGCCCCGCUGAUAGGUUUACCUUCAGCUCUAGCUUGAGCUGUUGGCUUUUUUUUUUUAAUUUUUAAAAUCAAUCCAGAUUGAAUUAGUUGAUUGGACAUAUUAAUCUGUUACUCGGUUAGAAUUUCAUUGAUUUUUUUUCAAGAUUAUUGUUUUGAUCUUUAAAAAGAAUUUUAUUAGAUUUACUUAAAAUCAAUCUCAUGAUCCGAGACUUACUCUGAAUGCAACUCCAAGUUAGGUCUAAUUAUAACUAUGACUUGGACUAUGGAAACUAUAGCUCUACAUAAAAUUGGAUUGGAGGAGGCAGAUAAGAAACUAAGUGAUUAUUGAGAGUGCAAACCACGUAAAAUUAAAGAGUAUAAUUAAAGAUUUUCAAAAUUUAAUGUAGUUCUGCCUGUCUGAAUACAUAUCAACUCGUUCAACUUUUGAUCAUGGUCGUGAAUAUAUUUAUGUUAGCAACAACCGGUGUGAUCAUUCUUAAUUAUUAUAUUUCAUUUAAAAAAUAUAUUUUUUAUUGUUUGGUUAUGUUGAAAAAAAUAAUUGAAUUUUUUUAGUGCUUGCGUGUUUGGUAUGCAUGGAAAAUAUGUAUUAAAAAGAAAACAUGAAUUAAUUAAUAAUAGAGAUCAUAAUUUAAUAUUGAAGCUAAUCUCGUAAAAUGUUUUUUAUCUAUUAUAAACCGUGAGUUGUUAAUUUUCUAUUAUUUUAAGCUUAUCUUUUCUUUAAUUAUAAAGUAUUUUACAUUAAUAAUUUAUUUUAAAAGAAAUCAAACAUAAAAAAUGAAAAGAAAUAUUUUACAGAAACAUAAUUACUUAAGAAAAAUAAUAAUAUAAGAUGAUGUUGAUUGGAUUCACUCAACAAUUGAAAGUGCUUUUAAACAUAUUUAUCGAACCCGACAUUAAUUAGUGGGUCAACUUAGAAUUCAAUUAGCUUGGCUUGUAGUUUAAGCUGCAUUUUAAAAAAGGAUUAACUUUGAGCUGAUCCUAUUUGACUUGGUUGAUCCUACUAAUUAAUUUGGUCAUAAUUUAAUUUGAUUUUUAAAUUUUUUUUUUUAAAAUGAUAUUGUUUUGAUUGAUUCUAUUUAAUUCAUCUAACCCGUGACUCGGAGUUUAAACCAUGUAUAAUAUCUUUGCUUUUAACUAAUGUUCAAAAACAAAAAUUAAUUAUAAUAUUUAUCUUGGGGCUUAGUUUUUUUUUCCAAACCAUAGUAAAGAAAUUAAUAGGAGAUAUUACACAAAAUUAAUCAUCAACAAACUUAAUUAUUGUUAUGAUUUUGUCUUAUAGGAAAUGUUUACGGCAGGGACUGAUACAACAACAAGCACUUUGGAAUGGGCCAUGGCUGAACUUUUACAUAACCCUAAAGUACUGAAGACAGUCCAAUCUGAGUUGAGAAGCACUAUUGGCCCCAACAAGAAGCUCGAAGAUAAAGACGUUGAGAAUCUCCCAUACCUAAAGGCAGUCAUUAGGGAAACACUGAGACUUCACCCUCCUCUACCAUUUUUAGUCCCGCACAUGGCCAUGAACCCUUGCAAGAUGCUAGGCUAUUACGUCCCUAAAGAGACAACAAUUCUAGUUAAUGUGUGGGCCAUUGGAAGGGAUUCAAAGACUUGGGAUGACCCUUUGGUUUUCAAGCCAGAAAGGUUCUUGGAAGCAAACAUGGUGGAUUACAAAGGUCGUCAUUUUGAGUUCAUACCAUUUGGUUCUGGGCGUAGAAUGUGCCCUGCCAUGCCUCUUGCCUCUCGUGUACUUCCUUUGGCUCUUGGAUCACUCUUGCUUUCAUUUGAUUGGAUUUUGCCAGAUGGCCUCAAGCCAGAGAAUAUGGACAUGACUGAAAAAAUAGGGAUAACACUUAGAAAAAGUGUUCCCUUAAAGGUCAUACCGACACCUUACAAGGGGUCAUCAAAUCAUGAUGGGUUCUGAGUGGACAAGGGAUAUUCUAAAAUUUCUACUAGUAUAACAAAAUGUAAUUAUAAAAUGGGUACAACAAAUCAAUCUUAGUAUCCCGUUGAUUUGAAACUUAAUCCAUGUUAUAUUUCAUUUUGAAUUAAAUUUUUUUACCAAAACCAUAUCAUUUUAUUAAAAAAUAAAAUAAAACAUGUUUUGGUAAAAAAAGAAGAAGAAGAUAGACUCGCAACCUAAAUUUUAGGCCGAGGCAGACCUAGGUUGGUCUUAUAUCUAAGUUACAAAAUGAUAUAUUAGAAUUGUAUUCAAUUUAGCUAUUUGAGUCAUAUAUUUGAUUCUUAAUUUGUAUGUGCAUGUAUAUUAAUGUCUAUCUAUAUAUAAUCUAGUUAUGGAGAAUUUUUUUUAAUUAAUUUGUAAUGCGGUUUAAUCUAUUUUUCAAACUAAUUUUCAUUUAAAAAAUAUUAAAUUAAUGUUUUUAGGUGUUUUUAAUGCUUCGUCUCUCCAUCAUAUUUGACAAAACAUAUACAAAAAUGAUGAUCUGACCUUCGACCAUACCCCGAUAUGGUUUUUUCAGGUUGAUUGACAUCAUAACAGCUGCGGCACCACCUCAAAGUGGCCAACCCGACCAGCCUUUUAGCAGUUAUAUUGACUGUUCAUGAUGACCACUUUGAGUCAACGGUUGAGAUCCUUCCGGGUUGAAUCAAGGGCUAAGAUUUGGCACCAGUAAAGAUAAAAUUCCACUCUUCCACCCCCUAUAAAUAGGAGAGGAUUCCAUGCAAUGAGAUCAAGAAAUCUAAGGCCAAAGUUGGAAAAAUAAUCAGUUUUUUUUUUCAAUUUUUUUCUUUGUGAGCCUCUUCCACCUCUUUCUCCAUUGCUUUUUCAGCCACUACUACUUCAGUACCACCGUGACCAAAACCAAAGGUUACCCCGCUUUUUAUACCACGUAACCUUCUGCUCUUCUCCUCCCUCCCUUCUUGUUCUUCUUUUACAUGCAAAUGUGCAGAACAGAACGUGAAUUAUAAUUCACGUUUUGCCAUUUGUAAGCACAACUUAGUCACUGGGCUGAGCCAGUGACUAAGCUGUGUUGGGCUGGACCCAUUCCGGCCCAGCUCAGAUGGUUGGGAUGGGUCCAGCUAUCGUAAUCCAAUUUUAAGUUUCUAAAAAAAGUGAUGAUAAAAAUAUAAUUCGGAUUAAUCAGUCAUGCACAAUUAUUCAGAACGACAGGUGGAUGGACAAGCUAGGGUCUUGUUGAAGAAACUUUGGAAAAUGAUUUGAGAAUGUGAUCAAAACAACACAAAUUGAAGGUUUGAGGACUAACAAGGAUAAAAUUAUAAAAUUUAAAAGUCAAUUUGGCUGAAACUGGAAGAAUUGACAAGUCUAGGGAUUUAAUUGAACUCUGAAUUAGUUUAGUUAAUUGAAGAAAUAUCAAAAUUCAAGAGCAAUUUAUGUCAAAAUUGCAAGAAAUAAAAUUUCAGGGAUCAAAAUGAAUAGGCUCUAAUACUAUAAGGCGGUUAAUUGACUUUAUCAGGGGUAAUUUUGAAAAAAUUAAAAGUUUGAAAAGUCAAUUAAGGAUUGAAUUGAAGAAAUCUGAAACCCAUGACUAUUUUGAAAAUAACGCAGAAAUCCAAGGGUGCAAUUGCAUAGAUCAAGGGGCGAAAUUAAAAAAAAUGAAUUUUAAAAGACAAGGGCUUGAAUGUAAGACUUCAAAACUUCAGGGGGCAAAUUGAAGAAUGACCCUUUUCGGCCUAAAACAGCGUCGUUUCAAAAACUGUUCAUUCUCUUCUUCCUCUCGAGCAGGGGAAAUCGUUAGAAGAAGCCAUCCAAAUGGCCCCUGUUAGACCCAAUCGUCCCACCAAAUCCAAGCCAAAUCUUAGACCCGAUUGUCUACCACAGAUCUCAUAAGUUAGUUCAGUGUUUCUCGCCCUCACAACUCUCCUCUGACGCGAAGAUCACUCAGGUCCAACAGUCCAACAAUGGCAGGACUGUUGGUGUUUUCAUUCCACCAAACAACGAGCGAACCUAAAGCAGUAGUUAUCCACCACUCAUUUAAUAUGCAGGCAGGGCCAUAUGAUUCGAUGAAAGAUAUUUCUUUGAAAAUUUUGCAAAGCAGCGUGUCAACAGUUCCCAUUAUUCAUUCUGCUUCUCAGGAUGGCUCAUUUCCGCAGCUACUAUAUCUUGCUUCCCUGUCUGGAAUACUAAAAUGUAAACCUUCUUGGUUUGAUGCUUGAGGAUGUAUAACUUGUUGCUAACACAUGGACUAAUUGUCAGGUAUAAGCAGGUAUUUCAGACAUUCUGCUGGCUCCUUCCCCAUUCUUCAACAGCCAAUUUGUUCAAUUCCUUAGGGUACAUGGGUUCCAAGACUUGGGGAACCAAACAGACGGCCAUUUGCAAUGUUGAGACCGAAUGCUUCUCUCGGUGCUGCUCUGUCUUUGUUGGCUCAAGGUAAUUCACUCGUCAAAAGAUUACCACAAGCUACAACUUUCCUCUUCUAUCUGUUUCUGAGUGUGCAUAUUGCUGAUUGAUCUUCUUUAACCUCUCCUAACCUUGUGCUAUAAUACCUUCCUGAUACAGCCAAUGUCAGUUCAAUAGCAUUUGUAAACGAUAAGGAUUCACUGCUGGAUGUUUCCUCGACAGUGAUAUCACUGCUUUGGCAAAAGAUAAAGCCUAUGCACAAAUUCAUCUUGAUGAAAUAAGUAUUCAUCAGGUAAUUAGUUUUGAUUACUUUGAGCUCUACUUACAUGCAGUUGUAUGCACAUUCUUGCAAUGGUCUGAACCAAUCCGCAGCUCUGUACAUGAAUCUCCAUUUGUGAAACAAUAAAUACCUUCAACAAAAUCAGGAGAAGAUAAAUGACUGGAAGUGAUUAAGUAAACUGCAUUUUUGAAUAAAACAUGCAUGGCAUGAACUACUGUAUUGAUCUGCUCUUUCAUACCCUUUUAGGCUCUGCAAUUGGGUCAGAAUGCAAAUUCUUCAAAUGCAUUCUACAAUGGACAGAGAUGUCAGAUGUGUUUGCGGACUGAUUCUCUACACAAAGUGAUGGAGCGUUUGGCAAAUCCCGGUACUCUUACAGCAAUAUGAUUU